AAGAGAGAGAGAGAGAGAGAGAGAGAGUAGUUAGGANNNNNNNNNNNNNNNNNNNNAGAAGAGAGAGAGAGAGAGAGAGAGAGAGAGAGUUUUGAAGGGCAAAGACAAGAAGAGCGCAGGGCGUUGCCACGGGAAGCAAGGUGGCGUAACGGGAAUAGGGACGGCGUCAUUUUAGAUAAAGAUCUUGGGAGAGUUGACCGACUGUAGCAAUCGCGUAUCCUGAAAUGCGCCUUCCGGGAUUUUAGCGCCGGUCAAACUAGGUUGGACAUGGAACUGGGAUAAUAAUUUUUCAAGAAAUACUGAGAAUAUUUUUUUUAAAAGUAAUUAUUUAUAUUUUUUAUUAGAAGUGUUGAAGAAGCAUUUACGAUCAAGUAAAUGGCUCUACGAGGAUUCGGAAAGAAAAAUAAUUGUACAAGUUAUUUAUUUAAAAUAUUUAAAUAUAAAUUAUGUUAGAUAUUUAUGGCUCAAUCUAUGAAAUAGUUUUUCUCUCUUAAAAACAUAUAUUUUUUACCGAUGCAUAAAAAAAUUAUUUUGUUAUGAACGAACAAGAUAUUAAAAAUUGUCCAUAUAAUAUAAAUCUUUUUUAUAUAAAAAAGAAUCUUUUGUUAUUAUAGAACCAAAAGUGAUCUAAUAUUUCAAAAAUAAAAUUUGAUUUGCUUUACGAAAACACAACAACAAAAAAUUCACAAAACUGAAGAGGAUAGGAAACAUAAUUUCUACGUUGUUUGCAUUAUAUAUGCACAAAGCUAUUUUUAUUUGAUAGUUGUUUGCAUGGUAGAAUACAAGAUGUACGAUAUAUAAAAAUGUUCCUAUUUGAUAUCUAUCUGUUGACAACGAUCUUCGAGCAUUGUAUAGUAUUCUGCGAUGCAUAUCAUACAUCAUAGAAGAUUCAUACUCGUACAUAAAAUAUAGUGACAGCCAAAACAAUUCCAAACUUAUGGAGGACAAAUUUUCAUAACAAAAUCAAUUUUGCGAUGCCAUACUUUAUAUUCAAACAAUAACAAUCCUUUAUAUAUGUUUAUACUCCCAUGAAGUCCCUUAAAAAAAGCGUGUACCAUAAUUAAACAUGACAUGGUAAGACCAAGGAUCUGAUCAUUUGAUUACAAGAAUCCGAGUCCAUCGAUGGCAUUGAUAUCACUCUAUCAUCAAAUUACUAUUACUAUUUUUUUUGAAUUUUAUGUACUUUUAAUAAUCCUUAUCAGAGAGUCAUGAAUGAAGUUAUUCAUCGCAUCAAUGAUUAACAGAGGGGAGGGUAAAUCUCUCCCCUCUGUUUCUUUUUUAUUCUAUUUGUGUCUUGAAUUUCUCUUCUUUACUCUCCGUACCUCUCGAUUCAAACACUCUAAAUAGAAGAAGGAGGAAGCUAUAUAAGAUGUCGCAGGAGGAAGCUUUAGCCCCGACCGAACCUUUAGCAAUAAGAAAAAAUUGUAUGUCUCCUUCCGCCGCCUUGACCUCCUUUCGUUUUCCAUGCCCUGGAUUUCCGUUUCCCCUUGCCCUCCACCCUCGGCGGCCGCCGCCCGAAUCGCUAGCCGGAGGACCGCCGAACUAUUCCCAACCCGCUGCCGCCCGCCACCCCCCAUCACUCCCUCCACCGCGAACUCCUAUCCGGAAUCCUCCUCCUCCGACACCAAGCUCUCCACCUUCUGCGCCGCCGUCGCCGAGUUCUCCAAACGCCCCCAAGGUCUCCUCCCCCCUCCUGGCGUCGGACCCCGUCGCUCCCUCCCCGCCUCCUACAACGUCUUGAUGAAGUACUUCUCCCGCUGCGGCGACGCCGACGAGGUCCUCCGCGUCUUCCGCGAGCUCCAGCUCUUCCGCCCGACUCGCAACGCUCUCUGCUACAACACCCUCAUCAACUCCCUCGUCGUCGCCAACCGCCACGCCGAGGCCGAGGCCGCCUUCGAGGAGAUGGUCUCGUCCGGAAUCGCCCCGACCACUUCCUCCUAUACAAUUCUCAUAAAGUCGCGAACUUUACACCCCUCUCUCAUCGAUUCAGCUUAUGAUAUCAUCCAAUCCAUGGUUCGAUCCGGCCGACACCCCGACAGAGUCACCUACUUGACCCUGAUCGCCGGCCUCUGCCGCGCCGGGAGGAUUGAGGAAGCGUGGGGUGUUUUGGAUCAGAUGCUUGAAGCAAGGUUGCUGCCGACUGUUGAAGCGUAUACUUGUAUCGUUCAUGGGUAUUGCUCGGCGGGAAGGAUCGAAGAAGCCAAGAGGUUGAUGGGCACUAUGGAAACCCUUGGCUGUCGGCCGGACGUGGUGACUUACAGCGUGUUGGUCGAGGCCCUAUGCAGAACUGCCGAAUUCGAUGAGGUGGAGAAGAUCUUGAGGGAGAGUGCGUCCAUGGGCUGGAAACCAAAUGCAAUCACCUACAAUAUCUAUAUGAAUGGGCUUUGUAAAGUGGGCAAGGUUGAUGAAGCAUUCCAACUGUUCGAAGUUAUGCGGCAGAGUGGGUUGUGCCCAGAUGCAAUCACUUUGAACAUCCUUUUUGAUUGCCUUUGUCGGGACUCCAAGGUUUGGGAGGCCAAGAGCUUGUUGGAGAGGAAUGCUGAAUUGGAAUGGGAUGUCGACAACUUCUUCUACAACACUUUGAUGAGUAGGCUGUGUGAGAUCGGUGAAUGGAUCAGUGUUCUAAAGCUCUUGAUCGAUAUGGUGAAGAAGGGGGUCGGACCGGAUGCUUGUACAUUUACCAUCGUGAUUCGAAGCCUUUGCAGAGCUGGGAAGCUUCGUAAAGCGAAAUGCAUUAUGAGCAGUAGGGGAUUUGCUGCUGAUGUUGUGGCUUAUAACACUUUGCUUCAUGGGUUUUACAUGGCAGGAGAAUUCAGUGAAGUCCAGCGUCUUUAUGCGAACAUGGUAGUGGAGGAUAUUGUUCCCAAUAAGUUCACGUAUAGUAUCAUGAUUGAUAGUUUUUGCCAAGAAGGAAAAUUUUUGGAAGCUAUUGAUUUUCUUCUUGGAUCCCUCAAAGAUGGGUUCUUAUCUGUUCUGGUUGUUCGUCUAAAUAAUUGGUUGAUUAAGGGAGGGAAGCUGAGAGAGAUACUAAAACUGCUCGAAGAAAUUACAGAACGAGGAUCGGUUCCAGACGUGUGUAUAUUCAAUGCGCUGAUAAGUGCAUUUUGCAGGGAGGGAUACUGUCAGAGUGUAGACGUAUAUAAAGUUUGUCUCAUUCUUGACAAAAUGCUUGGAGUCAAAUAAGUUAUCUCAAGAUGAUGCAAUUCGUCUGAUCAAUGGUCUGAAUCUUUCUGGAGAGCAUGGGCUUAAGUAAGGUAAUGUUUCCUCUGUGUGUGUGUGUGUGUGUGUGUGUUUUGUGCUACAUGUUCAUGAUAUGAAUGUUCAAACAAUGCUGGGCUUAAUGUACGUAGUUGCAGUGUUAUUUCCAUUCUGAAUUGUUCGACUUUCGCUUGCAGGUAAGUUCAUCCAACAAUUUAAAGUUAAAAUGAGUGUCAAAUACUUUGCGAAAAAAAUUCUUGUUGAGGACAAACAAGUAAUGUUGAAAUGAGCUCACAGUCUAUUUCAUUUGUUCCUUUUAUAUAUAUAUAUUUUAAAGAUAUAUCUUUCUUUUGAAAUUUGAGAUGAAUGGUACUUGUUUUCUGAUAUAGACAUGGGUUGUAGCAGGAAAGGAAGGGUUUCAUAUUCUUGGCGUCAAAUUCUACAGGGGAACGCAUGGCUGGUUAUUGGAAUCCAGCACCAAUGUUUUUGGGUCAUUUGACAAUAGACACUCUUGAAAACGGGCACAGGAGUUUCUUCACCAGGUUUUUAAUGCCUGAGUACCGUUUUUUUUUUUUUUUUGCUUCUUUUCAGAAAUAACAAUUUUGCAUCUACUUUUUUCUAUUGUCCCUUAUAUCCUUGGAAUUAAUUUAACGGAGAGACUUAUCCAAAAAAAAAAAAAGUUUUACGGUUUCAUCAUUUUAUCUUCUCCUGUAGAAUUUUACAAAGUAAAGUAUGUAAUAGUAUACAUUCUCAAGAGGUUCUUCUGAUGAUAUACAAUAUAUUCAAAUAAACUAGUCUUUUUCUACCUGGUUUCCCGUAACUAUGUGUAGCAAAUGAUUACAGUCUGAUGCAACCUUUGAAUCUUCGAAGUCUUUUUCAUUUUCUUGUUUUAGAAAUCCUGCCUGAAUUUCUGAAAUCUUGUUGCCCAACUGUUUAUGCCCAUGUGGGUGGUCUACCUUGUAGGGAUGUAACAUGGCUUCAUGUUAUCAUGUUAUCUUUCAUAUUUAACAAGCAUAAUAUCUUGCCACUGACCAUGUACAUUUCUUUUUUGUUUUAUAAAAAAAAAUCUCGGUGGAUGUAACCAAUGAUGUAGCCAAAGCAAUAUAGCCCAUUUUUCCUAAUCAGCAUCGUGCAUUCAUUUUCGAUGCAAUUGUUGUCUCAUGGCACCAGAUGUAACUUAUGAUUUUCCCUAAAAUAUUAUUUUUAAUUUCUCUUGAUUUGCAGGGAUCUUUCUUCAUAUAUCUUCUUUGGUCUGAUGUCUAUAUGGAUGCGAUGGAUCAUGAUCACAGUAUGCGAUGGCAUUGAUUUUACUUGAGAAGAAAGCGAUGCAUGGUUGGUAUGUUGAUCUGAAGCUUGGGUGACCUUGUCGGCAUUGGCUGCCGAUCUCUUCUCUCUCGCAUUCAUGCAGACUUAUUAUGCCAUCCUCGGCAAUCAUUACGAGUAGAUGGUGCAAUUACUUUAUUAUUAUUAUUUGGAAGAUGUUCUAGCACAUGGUGCGAUUAUUUUAUUAUUAUUAUCUGCUGAAUCUUUGUAGAGUGCUGAAUGGGUAGAUGUUCUUCCUUAGGUUACCAAGAUAUAAGUACCUGGUGAUUUCUCGUUAGACACGCAUUCAGGAUGUUUACAACGUCUUCCAGUUGGUUGGUCUAUAGAUUUGCUUAGUUAGUUUUCUUGUUUUAUUUAAGUGUAAUUUUUGUGCUUAAGUUUCAUUUUCUAGAAACUAAUGUUGUUAUGAGGUUUAAAAUGGUCAAAAGGUGCUGUUCAUUUGCAAUUUCUGGUCGUAUUUCUUGUUUGGAGUAGCUAAUGAUGCGGCACGCGGAUGAAUUCAAAGAGGAGGUUUUGAUAUAUCUUUUUUUAGGCCAAAUAAAAGCUCCCUAACAAGCCACGGCGAAUAACAUCGUCACCUUUUUCCCGCAAUAAUCAGAUUUGCAUCUAACGAGAACAGCUUCACUCUCACAACCCUGGAAAACACAAUGAGUAAAAAUAGUAUAACGAAAGGUAUUCCAAAAGAAAGAGCUAUGACUUUAAAACAAGUUGUCCAUACAGAAUAUCAAAGAAUGAUGUUCUCACACCACCCUUAAAAAAUAAUAAUAAUAAUAAUAAUAAAAAAAAAACAACAAACGUCCAAUGCCACUAUAUAUAUAUAUAUAUUAUUUUUUUUGAGAAACAGUGCCAAUGGAAAUAUUGAACUCAAAAUUCACGACUUCCAAGUGAUGCCCUAUUAUUCUACCUUGAACUGAAAAAUGGUGCAUAUCGUAAAGAUUUACAAACCAGAGUUUGUUAUUCUAAAAUAUAAGCCAGACAUAAAAUUCGUGCAGCUGUAAGAUAUAUUUUAUAUUGUGCUUAAUAAACAGAAAAAUGGUUCAAAAGUAAUGUCGCAAGAAGCCAUUACUUGAUCUUUGUUUGUGCAUAAAACAACUGAUGAAAAAUGUUCUGGUUUCGUCAAUAUAUUUACAUCAAUAAUACUUAUUUUUGUUGGGCUUGCUUCAAAUCAGCUUUUGAAGCAGAAAAAGUUGAGAUGAGAUGGUACGAUGACAAGUUUGUUAGCCUUCAAUUAUAGGCAUACCUGGUGCACUCUAUUGCUCUACGGGCAGCACGUUUUUUCCUAUGCAGAAAACGAAUGCUGGAAAUUGGAUCCAAAUCACUCUUUCUCACUUAUGACUGAGGGGGUGCUCAUAGGGAGUGCUGAAAGAGGUGGCCGCAGGAGAAGAUACAAGGAUGGCCCCAAAAUUGGAAUACAUGCCACCGGCAAAAGCCAAGAGCCUUGAUUGAUCCUGCUACAAGGGGAACAAGUGAGUUCUUUGACGAGAAAGCCAUUCUCCUUUUCCCUUUAUUUUAAAACAUUUAGGUUUGUGAGCAUAUUAUGAGAACAAGCCUGGGUGGAGAGUUUUCAGUUUACCAUCUCCUUGCAGUCAUAUCAUUGUAGACCCAAAAAGGUGCGAAAGCUGAGAGUAGUGUAAAAUCAAUGCAUGUAAUAUGGAUCUGCAAUGAAGAAAAAUGUUAUAGGUAAAAUGCCAGAGUUUUUACAUGAGGUUAAUCGACUCUGAUCCAGACUUCACAGAGAGAAGUUCACAGCCUCAAAAAAGUUUUUGUAAAGUAUUUGAUGCAGUUCUGUAAGAACAGCUGAACAGGAGCUGCUAACUAGUUAAAAAACUGACAGUAUUGAAAUUUCCAAUAGUAUGUCAUGAUACUUACAAACUUGCUUUCUCUGAAGUAUCGGAAGAAUUCCUUCCACACAUCACCAUUAGCUAAACCAGCAUACAUUGUUAGGCCCAAACCUGCAACAAGUAAAAUCUGGUGUGCAAUGGAGUUACUAUUCAGUCAGCAGAAAAAGGAAAUUAUAAUCAGGUAAAUACGGUUAAAUAUGGUAGCAGAUAAACCAUCAAUCUGAACCAUUUGGAGUUUCACCUACAAAUUUUGUUUGUUUCCACUAUUUCAAACCAUCACUGACCAAAACUCUAGAUACCAAAAACUUCAAGGCAACGCUUUACAGAAACUAUAUUGAACGAUUGGGAUUCUUUGUUUGUCACUUAAACCUUUUCAAAUUGUAAUCCAAUGAUGGUCAAAAUCAACGAGUUAUGCAUGUGGUUGAUGUAAAAAAGUUACAGUAUCACUCAUAUAGUCAUAUACAUAAAAAUUUUUAUACAACUUUGCUAAGCAAAUCAAAAAGUUAUGUGCAUUAGAGUUUCUUACCCCAGCAGCUAUCUUUGAAUCAAGAAAAUUUAAAGGCCAUCUCCUGAUUUCAUCUUCUCCAAGGGCUGGUGGAGGUGGCUUCCAGAAAACGAAGUAUGGAAUAAGGGCAUAUGCACCGCCAAAGAAUGAAAGCACUAGGAAUGGCCAGACAGGUAUCUUGCUUCUUGAACUGCAUUACCAGUUUGAACAUUUCAAAUUAUUUAACAUAGAGGAAAGUUGACAAAUUUGAAGAUUAAGGUGUAUGAUUUUCACUGGUUCAACUAGUGAUUCAACAAUAACUAUGCACAAAACUGAAUAAAGACAGUCCCAGCCUCAAUUCUUUAAAGGUAGUUGGGGUUUGCACUGUAUCAUAGUGAACCCUUGAUAGCUAAUCAGUUAUCUGUUUUAGCACUUGUAAAAAAGAAGAAUCACCAUAACAAGGCCAAGCCCUUAAAGGACGCUGUAGCUGAGUUUCAAUCAGUAACUCCAUGUAUAUCUAUAAAAAUACAUUUAGUGCAUAUAAGCUCAUUAAAAGUAUAAAUAAAAAAACAUUAACCUUGUUCCUAAAUCUUUUCUUCUCUAUUUUAUUAAAAAAAAUAAUCAUCAUUUGCAGCUGCUUCUUACGACAAAACUGCAUCUGGGGAAGUUACUUAUCUAGUGAUCUUAGUAUACUUUAGUAGGAACUCAUUAGUUCAACAACAAUGAAUUUAUCAUGUAUCUAUCUGAAACCCUUUUGCUUUUACCAUCUUGUAACUUCCCUCUCCCGACUUCUCUCCUAUUUAAAUAUAUAGUAUCCACAAUUCUAAUUCCUGCCUAAAAUUCAAAAUUGAUAAACAUCAAUAUCUCUCUCUAAGUUCUAAAAUAUAUAUUUGUUAUCUUAAGAGAUUUUCUUCUGUGGACUUCUAUCAAUUGUUUCUUAUAUAUUUCUCUCACCGAAGGAGAGAAAAUAUGACUAGAUCCCAAGUUAUGGUAAAGUCUUCAAAAAAAAUCAUAUGUCGCCAUUAUGUAAAGUUGGUACAAACAAAAGAUCAAGGUUUUAAAGCUGACGGGGACAUUCUAGUUUUUCUUUGGAAUAGGAUCCGCUGCCAUCCCAACUAGUCCCGACACUUGGGAUAGGGGAUGUCCUAAAACACGCCGAUCGGAAUGCUGAGAUGAUGGCAGGACGGUCCCAUCCCGAUACUUGGGACGGUACCCCAUCUAGACAUCCUGACAUUCCAUGAGGAUUUGAAACCGGAAGAAGACUAAAUAUAUGCCUAGUACUUUUACUAUGCCAUUUUAAACACAGGAUAACAGCUCUAAAACAAGAAUCCAGCAUCAUACAGACCAUCUCUCAUUUUUUUUUUAAAGAACUCCAAUAGGAUUAAGAGAUGAAUAAGUGGUCACUAUUGCAUCGUGUAACAUAUAAGAAAAGAAAGAACAACUUUGUUUAGACAGAGUUUCUUCUUCAGUAGUCACCUUCUACCAGUAGGAACUAACAGCAUACUAUAAAUGAAAGGCCACAGUCCCAUGAAGUACCAUAGAGCCACAAGUACUUCGUUCAUUUGGAAGCCAUCAUCGCCUUUAAGAUUCAGCAGUUUUUGCAGAUAAUACACAUCGCUAGCCUGAAAAUUUUGAACAAGUAUAUUAUUAAGAAAGAAGGUAAUAAUGGCACAUCUACUAGUCCAAGACACAAGUCCUCAGAUGAUAUUAAAGGAACAGCGCUGUGCAUAUGUAGGCAGUAGGCAAUAUAUUUGAAAGCCCAGCAGAACAUUAUGUGAGCUUUUAUACUGAAUGUUUAUCAACGGAUAAGGAAAAUAGAAAAAUACGUAUUUUAUUAUUUUAGAAAAUCCAUUAAUAGUAUAAUUUUGAAACAGAUCAAGAAAAAUACUUAUAUGUUCAUAAAUCCUUUUCCCCCUUCUCACCAAAUCACAUCCUGUAACAUGUAUCCGUAACCAACAUCGCCAUGCACGUCAAUGCAGGAUUUCGUGAUGCAAAUUUAAAUAUGUAUAAUAAAAUAACAAGUCAAACAUAAAAAUCAAAGUUUCAAAGUUAGUUAUUAACCAGUCAAAAAUUUUGUCAUCCAAAAUUUUUAGGUGUCUAAAGGGUAGAUCUCACAAGCAUUACCCUUGCUAAAGCACUCAUCCAAAAUUCAAGCAUUAGACCAUUGUCUCUGGUGUCCAUAAAGCACCACAACAAUUCAAGACAUAAUAAUAUUCUGAAUAAGUUAAAUAACAGCAUUCUUAUAUCGAGCAAUCUCUAGAAUUUAACCUAGUUUAACAAAAACAAACUAAAAUAUCAAGAACCAAAUCAUCCUGUAACCAAGAAAGAAUACCGGAGUCUGGUUCGGCGCGAGCUGGAAAACGUAAUACAUGAGCCCGGCCCACAAACCAAAGAGCAGGACCGAAGUAGUCCAAUCGUUCCCACUCCCACCACCAUCUCCACUCCUUUCGGCGGUGGGUCCUUUCUCGUCCAGAAAUGAGCCUCCAAAAUUCUUCCUUUCGGUGGAAUCUCGACAGACUUGGAGUAGACCCCUGCUCCCAACGGAGGAGAACGGAUGGCUUAGUCUGAGACCGGUUCCAGGGUUGAGGGUUUUAGGCUUGAGGAUGGAGUGGGUUCUGUGGAAUAGCUUCUGGGGGUGGUGGAGGGAGGGAAGAGGAUAAUGGCAUGAGAGGAUAGGACAGGAUUUGGAUGAGAGCAUGCUGGCCUUCCAAUCUGAACGAGGGAGGGAGUUGAGCACCCGAGUUAUAGCGUGAUCCGGAAACUAAAAGAAUCACGCGUACUGCACGUGCCAAACUUAUGCCACUGUUUCGGCAAUAAAUUUGUCGAGGCUAGUUAUAAAAUAAUUUGAGAGUUGUUAAAAUAAUCUGUCGUAAGUUAAAACUUCGCAUAAUAAGCGCUUAACGAUCAGAGCCUAUUAUGCUUCUUACUUUUGUUGGAUUAGGCAAGUGAAAAUAAAGUCUUGGACUUAUUUAUAUAAAAUAUUUGGUCAUCAGAUUUUACUUAAUUGGUUUUAUGUAAAAUUUCAAAUGGUUGAAAUAUAAGAAAAUAGAUAGAUGUAAAAAAAAAACAAAAGGAGAUACAAAAAGACUUGCUUGGUUAUUUUCUCAUAGAAAUAGAUUUAUGAAAACUAACAAGCCAUAAAACCAAGCCAUAAAACUUCAAAAAUGAGUAUAAAAAUUUCUACUUUUAAGAAAUCUCACCAUCAACCCAAAUUUAUUCUAAUAAGGUAUCAUGUUUUAGUAAACCAACCAAGACAAAUCAUUCAUGAUGACCCAAACCAUUUCAAAGAUGCAUCCCCAAUUCCCCAUCAACCCAAAUUAUCAUAUCAAUCAAUACUGGCAAAUUAUGUAGGAUUGUGUUCCAUGUGAUCUCAUUCCUACUUAUUAUAGCAAAUCUAUUCAUGAAAAUAUCUGCUGCUAGCAUUUCGAGAACUUAAUGUCAAAUAGCCAUCCUCCUUUAUUUUGGGAGAUAUUUUAGUAGGUCAAUAUUUUUUUCAAUACAACUAUAUUCGUUCAAUUCCUUUGCUCUAGAUGCAAAGUUGGUUUUUAUUGGUCAAUCAUGAUUCAUUGUAGCUUCUUAUCAUAUGCAUCAUACAUGCUCGAAGAUAGUUAAACAAAAAAGCCCUAUAGCGCCCACACUGUAAUGCUCACCAGGCUAUGAUCUAAAUCUUCUAACUUUCACCCUAAACCUUUUUGGAAAAGUGAGUGUGUUAUUGGUUUAGGAAUACCUAAAGGGAAUGUGUCGAUUUAGAACCUAACAUAUUUUUAGCAAUUUUAACACUCAAAUUUUAUGCUAGCCUAUGUUUAUAGUUUAUAGCAUAUCCGUAUUUUUAACAUAUGGAUAUUUGCUUGAAACAGAUACAAAUACAAGUAAAAUAUUAGUUAUAUUUAUAUUUUCUCCAUCCAAAUAUGGAUAUACGUUGAAUAUAAAUUAAAUAAAAAUCAAAUUUUGAAUAGAAUUCAAUAAUGAAAGCCAAUAGAAAUAACAUUAUCAUAAAGCAUGCAAACGAAAUCCACUAUUACGAUUGCAUAAUUGAUGCACAAUAACUAGAUUUUAAUCUCGAAUGUGGUUAUUAAACUUGCACAAACAACGAUUUGGCGAAGGAUCUCGAUCACUGAUCUAACUAUAUUUUAUAUUCAAAAAAUAUUAAAAAUUAUAUUAUUAAAUUAAAAUAUAUAAUAUAAAUAUAUUAGAAAUUUAUUAUAUACAAAUGUUACUCUUUAAUUGCAGCACAAACAAAUAAAUCAUGAAUUGUCUAUAUUUCAGAAAACUUGCAACAAAAAAUACUAAAAAAAUAUAGGAAAAUGUUUAAGUUAUUGAUGUUUUUUAAUAUUUUAAAUGAAAAGGUUUUGAAAAUAUCAUAAAGAGUAAAAAGUAAAUUAUACAUUUCCAUUUUUUAUCUAAGGACAAAGAUUGAAUUUUUAUGAAAAGAAUUAAUUAUUAAAGUAUAAAAAUCAAAAUAUAUUUCAAAUGGGUAUAUUUUAUAACAUGAAUAAGUACAAUAAAUUCUGAUUAUAUAACAAACUAAAUAUUAUAAUGGUGGCUGAAUAGUUGUUAACUAUCAAAGAGAUCCCUAGUUAAAUUCCUUCCACAUGUGGUAGAUAAAUGAUUUGGAUAUGGUCCGAUAUGAUCGGACUGUUUUCAGCCCUAAAAUGAGUAAAGAAUUCAAGAAGGAGAAGGCUAGCUUGCUGGAGUUCUUUUCCAGAGUCUCGAUCAGGGUCAUCUGCCUCUGCUCUAAAAACAAAUGGAAGUGCAAAAAGAACAGACAAUCUAAAACCACCUAUAAUAUAAACGAACUGAUUUUAACACUGGCAUAUAUAGAAAAGAAAAUCUUCAGUAAAUAUAAUCCCUGGGAAAUAAAAUCCUCAGUAACAGAUACUCAUAUCAGCGAUAACACUAGAUCAACAAUUAAAGCAAUAAAGCAAAAGUUCAAACUAGAGUACACCACUCCGCGAGUUAUCAACCAAACAAAAAAUCAAACAAAAUAUGUCUUCUGAAACUAAUGCACCAAGUCAGGUAAUCUAUUGGCUGCAGAAAUCCCUAAUUGUGGAUAAACCCUAGAAAUAGCUGCAGGGGGUUCAAAAAACCCUCAAGAUACCCAAUUAGAAAUAGGCUGUUAUAAGGAUAAAAACUUUCAAAAAUGUUCUGCCUGGAAAAACAACUCUCAAAAGAAAGCCUGAAUCACCUACCAACCCGUCAUUGCCACAGUUCACCGGAUCUGAAAGCGACUCCUAGUUUAUCGGAGUUAGAAUACGAAUGGUUCACUUCACAACAUACCUAGCAUCGGAACCCUAAUUUCUAGAUCUCCAGGGAAAAAAUAAAAGAGGAACAUCCACUGAAUUCCCAAGACGAAAACCUAAUUUUCCUGCGAGAGAACUCAAGAACGAUCUCAAGAAGGACAGAGACAUCGAAGGAGAAUGGAUAUAACUCAUACAUUUCUUGCGAGAUCUCAGGAAGCAUCAAGAACGAUCGAAGGAUGAGGCCAAGAACUCAUACCUUGACCCGAAGAAAAGAAGAAGAGCAUCGCGUUCCUAUGAAGAGGAGAUUCUUCUUCUCCAGAGAAGGGCAGACGAAGGAGACCGAUCCGAUCGGGGUCUCCGUCGAGAUGGGAGCUUGGGAAAAUCGGAUGUGUCGGAAGAGAGCAGAAAGAAAGAAACCGACCCCGUUUCGACUUUCGAAAGCGGGAAGGAGGGAGAGAACCGCGAGGGUCGGAAGCAUGGGGGUCCUUUUAUAGGCUACGAUGGAUACGGUGUGAGUCGCAUAGAAAGACGUUAGCGCCCGGCUUCCGGCAUGGAUUGGGAGCGGCAUAUGGUGUGAGUCGUAUAAACGACAUGUAAUGCUGUAUAAUAUUUUUUUUUCUUCUAUAAAGUCGGUUAACCCAUGGCCGAAUAUGAUGGGAUUAUUGUUAAAGUAAAAAAUAUAAAAUUGUACUUCAAAAAAACGAGAUGAAAAAUCAUGGUGCAAUUAAUAAUGAUGGUGUGCUAUAUGCUCUCACAAUAUUAUAUACACCCGCCAUCAUGUGAAAAAGUUUGAAUCCUCUACGAUAAGAUAGUGACAUUGCCGAAUUUUGUAUUAUCAUUGAGACAGACGGUUCGCAUUAAUUCUGAGAACACAUCUCCGUAUUUUUCAGCACAAUAUACAACAUGUUAUAGAUGUGAAAGAGAGCCGUCCAUCUCUGAAAUGGAUGAUGCGGUGGCUAUCUACAAUGAUAUCAUACUCUAUGGUGUAAAAGUCGCGCUGCAGAGAAUCCGGCUCAUAUGUGAAACCCAAGAUGCAACUGCUUCCGGCACUGCUUCCGGCACCCUUGCUUUACGUAAGUCAUUUUAUGUAGCUGUUCUAAACAAUGAUAGCUCCCAGGAUAUAUUGGAACAUAGCUCAGGCUGAUGAUAUAUUGGAACAUAAGACAUUAAAUCUUUGUUGCUUUCUGAACAUAACUCUCAGUUAUCAGCCAUUCAGUGUCAGGCUUCAGUUUCUAAAGUCAUGCUAUCUUGUAAUAAUUUUGGCAAAGGUUAUGUUUGGUGUUCUGCAUAGGAAUUUGCAAAACUUGCAUGCCGACCAUCUAACUGAAAUGAUUGAAGGUUCAUAAGGUUAAGGUUCACUCUCAUGUAAACAUCAGUCCUUGAAGACACGAAAAAAUAAAAAAGAGCAGAUAAGACAAUGUGCCUUAAGAAUAGCGCACCUGGGAGUGAAAUUCAACUCUGCAUCAUAUACUUUAAUGAUCUGAUAUCAUGAACAGCAAACGGAAGCCUUUAUUACAUCCAAGGUCAAACUUCUAUUCACUAAACAAAAUAGUUUAUCCUUUAGAGUAUUAUGGGCUUAAAAUAUGGAUUUGGUAGUAGCUAUGAUAUCGAUAUUUUAACCCAGGGAAAAGAAAAGGAGUGGUGCAAUAAGAUCUUAGUAGCUUGACUCUGGUACCUACAGUGAUAUAUCCACUUUGAAAUCUUUCUAAAAUCUCAAACUUGCACCCACUAUGCAAGUGUUUUCUUAUUAAAAGUGUUUCUAAAGUAUCUGCUUCUUAGGAUCUGCAACCACUCCUGCACCAUUACCUGCUUAUGAUUCUGGCAGUUCAGAGUAGAAUUUGCAAUAUUCACCCCAAGAUAUGUGGAGUAUUCUGAAUUUCAAAUGGAGACAUAUACGGAAUAAAAAUGCAACCUUCUGUUGUUCUUGAAUUUGAACGUGCUUCCUAAGCCCUUCCUCAUGAAAAAGGUUUCUAAACUACCGAUUCCCUACGUUACUCCCACUCCUGCACUUGCUUACCCUGCAGCUGUCUCUUUCUAUAUAUUUUUACAUCAACAGAUAGUGACAAUGAGGUAAUCCGAAAUCAAAUUAUUAUCCAAAUCCAAAUUAAUGGAAUCAUCAUCCAGGUAUGGAAUCUGUAAUCUCUCCUUGCCGAGCAGAGAAAUGUGACCUCCAGGACCAGCACCGGAUCACAUGUUUCAGCGUUGCUCCGGUUCAAAGCUGCUCAGCCAAAGAACAAUUCAGUCAAAGAGGAGGUCAAGGGAGGCCGCAAUGAACUAAAACGAUAAUUUCUACGAAGAAAAGGCUCACCGACAAUAUUGACCAUGUCGUUAACCUAGACCAGCCUUGCAUCCGUCUAGUAGUCAUUGGACAAUGCCUCCAAGACUCGCUUUCUCCAGCCACACCUAAAAUAUCCGUCUCUACCAACAAUGCCAGCCCACUCUCACCUUCUCUCCCAUGGGACACGCAUCUCAACACUCUGUCAUACCAUUCCCCCUAAACGUAGGUUAGCAAUAAUGAAAAACAAUUCAAGCAAUAUAGGAGCAAUUUCAGUUUUGCACACCAGGCAUAAUCCAGAAUUAUAAUAAAAUCUAGCAAGAAAUUCAAGUUACACAAAAACCAAAUUUUUCAUAUUGGCCAGUACUGGUACAUUCCAACCAUACCGUAUUAGUACCAAUACAUCCCAACCAUACCGUAUCGGUACGGAAUCGGUACAUGGUAUAGAAAACAUAUGUACCGGUACUAUAAUAAAAUAGUACUAAUAUGGAAUCCGGUAAUGAGAUAAUGAACCUUGUACAAGAAUGUUAAAAUUUACUUUUAGCUAGCAUAGAACAUAGAAGACGCUUGGAGCUUAGAUUCACAUCAAGUAUGUUCAAUUUGUCUGCAGGUGCAAACAACUACAGGUGAGGCAAUAGAUAGAAACAACAGAUGGCAUCAUUGGUUCAUAAUCAAUAAGCAUGAAUAAGGUAGUUCAAAAGCACCAGUAUGUUAAAUGUUCUGCUGUUAUACAUUACUUUCUGACACACCAAGUAUCAUCCAUGGAUGUGUAAGCAGCAACUUUGCCCCCUAUCAGAGCGGUGCCCUACCAUUUUGCACACCACAAUUAAGAGAAAAUGUUUCUCAUCCAGCAGGACGAAAUGCGACAGAAACAUUAUUCCAGCUUAUUUGUAAAUGUAAAUGAUGACUGUAGAAACACCAGCAAAAUAUCUCAUCAUAAGAAUAGACAAACCCAGGUUCUGAUUGUAUCUCCAGCAUAUAUUCAUAUAAUUACAUAAGUGAGAAAACAAUUCCUUGCUCUUCCAUCCUCCUCAGCAUCACUCCCUCUCACACCAUCUCACCUUCACAAAACUAUAGCAAAGGAAAAUCAAACAGAACCUGCUGCCAGAGCUAAGGCUUUGAUCCUUCAGAAAAUAUUGCAAAACCAACACAGAUUUAGACCCGCUCUUACAAGUCAGCCUUGAUCAAUCAAGAAUCUGCUGAACUAGCUUGAAUGCAGCAAAACCAUUUUUUCUGCAGAAUCGGAGGAGUUGAUGAUAAUAUUAGAUGAUUAUAAUGAAGAAAGACGAAUUAAAAAGCUUGGAGGUUGCAUCCAAUCUUAAGCUGUAUAUGACAGGGAUUGUCAGUAUUCACCGAGCCAACAUAGAUCAGGUGGCUUAGAGCUGAAUUGAUCAUCUAGAAUAAGAAAAAGGAACUUACAGCAUUCACAUUAGGCUUGGUAGCAUAAGGUCCCUGUUUAAAGGUUGCCUCCUCCUUUCCAGGAGAGUCCUGGCCUCGUGUGUUGCCACCUGUCUUCCUCUCAUCUCUGGCUUUAUUGAAGAUCACAGUGAAUCCCUCUGCAGAAGCAGGGUCAUUUACAUCCCACUCACCAAACUUUGGUAACGGCCGACCCUUGUCCUGCUGGAAUCCAAAUCACUAAUAUCAGUAACAAUGGAGAUAUUUUUAGAGGUGUGACAACUGAAAAAGUAUUUACAUUCAAUUUCUUUUCCCUCACUAAAUAACAGUAUCAAAAUAUAAGAACCGAAAAUACUAAAACAGGUAGAGUACCCAGAGCCAAAGAGCCAUAUUUUCUUCCAAUAAUGCAGCAUGCAGGAAAAUCUUUUAUAUAAAAAAUAGUAGGCAUUCUAGAUUCUGUUAUAAGCAGUUGUACUAUGGCAUUUAGUAUUCUGUAUAUGUCCUUAAGUUUGGAUCAAACAUUUUAGUCCCUUUUGUCUCAAAUCUCAAUAAUGGUUUUCUUUAUGACUCGUUGAGUAAGAAACGAAAUAGUCAAGUGUCCAUCUACAUUUGUCAAACUUGUGACAGAUGUGCCUAAGAAUGGCCAAGAUACUUGCAUUUCAGUUACUGUUUAGCAUCAUUGUGAAACCCAUCCAGGUGACUCUCCACAAUGGACCUAUCAUAUAGCCUAGGCAUAUACACAAACACCCAGGUUCCUAGCCAACUUGGAACAAAGCCAUCAGCCACCCUGACAAUCAACUUUACUUGUACAAAUCAGAUUUUGUACUAUAUUUAAUCAACUAAUAUUCUGUAAUACCUUAAAUAAUAGGCAGUGAACAUUUUUCUAACACAUACUAAUCAAAUACUUUCGAGAUAUAUUGUAAUUUGAAUCUAUACUAAAUGCAUAAAUAAAACAUAAAAGAAGUAAUAGCAUAUAUCAUUGCUGGUUCAGGUCAAAUAUUAGACAAUAUUUAGCUGGUUCGGUCAUCCAAGUUGCUAGAGGUUGAGUUUGUGUCUCCAAUUUUUUAACAGCACUUUUGGAAGACACAGAUUGAGAUACAUUAAAUUGCCCCACGAGGAAAACAAGAUUGUGUAGCUGCAAACACACAUGGAGACAUAUAUAUAUAUAACACACACACACAUCAGAAAGUAUAUGUCAUUUUACAUGAUCUCCAGCAUCCAAGAUGCUUGCAAAUCAAAAAGCAAAUAUUUUGAAGAAUCCUACUUGGACACAAACAUAUAGGUCAAUACAGGGACCACCAUUAAAAAUUGGCCGCCUAGAUGUUACCCACCUGCAGGUCAAAGGAGACACGGUAAACAAAAAAGAAUAGGUGCCAGCAGAAAGGGGCAAAAAGCCAGAGGAAAAGGUGGCUAUGGGCUACAAGAAAAAAGAGUAUUUGUUGUUAUAUCCCACAAAUAUAACAGCAGAGGUAGCCGUUAAAGGAAUGAUUGGUGAAUAAGGAUUCAUAAAGCUGACUCCAAAUAGUUGGAACAAGGAUUAAUAAUUACAAUAAUAUCUUAAACCAUUACAUACAUUCAGUCCACAUAUCCACAUAUACACCUAAUAAUCAAGCCUAUAACCAAUCAUUUUUCCCUCGUAGUAAGUAAUAUACCUUAUUAGUCCGUAUGCUUACAUAAGAUGCAUACAAAGUUAUGCAGAACCAUCAAUAUGCAUUAAACAAAAAACACAGCAAGAGAACCACAUUAGGUUCAAGGUAGAAACCAAACAUCGAACAUGUGCAACUAGAUUUGCAAUCAUUACUCAUACUUUACACGAUUAAGCAGACAGCUGCUUAGGCAUUUAAGCAACAGUAACAAAUGCUCAAGCAAGUACCACUUAACUGGUCCAAAAGUAGGUAGCUGUUUAAGUGGCCACUUAAGCAUUUAACUGACUGCUUCAAUACGAGUGUCUAACUACCUAGGCUUAUAUUAUUUAACACCCAAAAGAACGAGAGUCAAAACAAAAUAUUAAUGUUGUCUUAAUAAAAAAUUCGAAUAGAACCGUGAUGACAAGUUACAUCUCUAGGUAAUGUAAGCAGGACACUUCAAUUUCAAGGUAUCCAAGAGUGUCUUCUUUGUGCUCAAGUGUCUAGGAAGUGUUGACACUAUAGACUGCCGCACUGUCCUGAACCAUCUAGUACGGCGUGUACCAUACUGUAUUGGGUUAGAAUCAGUAUGAAACUCACGUUUAGGUUACAGGCUCCAGACCCAAGCAUAUCAAGAUGUACCCCGAGGUGUGUAUAAACCCAUACCAAGAUGUACCAGGAUAAAAAGUAAGACAAAUGGUUUAAUGGUUGUUUCGGAAUAGGAUGGUAUAGCGUACCAUAACGAACUAUACUAUAUCGAACUAGUAAAGUACUGGUACAGUAUGCGACACCGAGAUUGUGAACUUUGGCUAACCCUCCAAGGUUCCUGGAAACUAAAGUGUUCAAGCACUAUUAAGGAACAUGGUAGAUACAAGAUUGUAAAGUAAUAAUGAUAAAUAGGGAUAAUUACAUGCAGGAGCUAGUUUACCAACAUAAAUCAAGAUAAUGGUUUCUCAGUAAUUUGGAUAGAUAGCAAUCCUAUGUUAUCCUCAAAAUAAAUAUGCAAAAUGCUAAAUAGAAAAGAAAAAGCUCACACAUAGAAUAGAUAUACCUAUAUAUAUUCCCUCCUCCAAAAAAAAAGAUUUGGUCUAAUUUUCAAAACUAGCAUAGAUAGAACCAAAGUUCUCUAUCUCGGUACUGGACCCUGUACUGGUACCAUUUUAGUCAGUAUUGGUACGCCCCAUAUGGAGAUCAGUUUGGCGCACCAACCCUCGAUAGGUCCCUUGUACCAUGUACUUGUUAAUAAUAUGGUAGGUACCAGUACCGACCAAUAUGGUGUGCCACGUAUAGAACAAUAUCCUAAUGAGGGUGAGUCUCCCACCAUUGCAGUGCCUGGAGGUGGUCCAAUGUACACAACCUUAUCUUGCAUAUGGAAAGACAAUUUCUGUGUUUCGAACCCAUGACACUCAGGUCACAAUAAAGCAAUCUCACUAUUGCAACAAGACUUACCCUCAAUAGGCAAUCAAAAUUAAAUUUAAAAUAGUCCGCAUAAAUGUUCUCUUAUUUGCAUCCUAGGUCUUGAGCUAUAGCCAAAAUUGAUAACUCAAAAGGCAACUUACUCAAAUUGGGCCCUGGCUUAUAUACAACAUGAUCAAAACUCCAAGUACAAUAAUUCUACAUCUCACCUUAACCAGGCACAUUUGUGAGAAUUGCAAAAUUUUUGAGGCUCGAAGACAAAAAUCAUGGAGUCAAUUCAGCAAAUUUCAAAUAAUGAUGCAUGUAACUGGAUAAAUUAGAAACCUCUGCAAUGCGCAUGCUCUAGGAAAGGGGCAAUUCAGAACUUCUAGUCACAAAUAAUAUUAGGCUGAUUAAUCUUCUUAUAGUUUUUAUGCUUCUCGCAUAAACAUUAGUACAAAGAUAAAAGGACAAUCAGCUCCAUCAUAAUCCCCGUGGUGUGAAAUCCUAGUCCACCUCAUUCAAUUAAUUAUUAUUAUUUUAAAUAAAAAGUUUCAGUGGGACAUAUUUUAAAAACUUCUGCAGCACAAACCGCAAGAUCCACCGCUACAACUCUUUGAUGAAAUUAGGAAACACAAUCUCUCCUCUGGAUGAAACUAAAAGAACUUGUAAUGGUUGUCAACUUCAGCCCUAUCAAGUAUAUCUACAAACAAAACUAGAUUGAUUUUUUUAUGCAAGAAAUCUAUAUUACAGAUACAAAUACAAUUGCCAUGCAAUUAGAUUGAUUUAUUUCACUUCAUCUAUAAGAACCCCGAUGUUUUCUUGUAAAACCGGUCCCAUCUUUGCAUAUGAUUAAUGUUUCCCCAGUAAUUUCUCAAAAACAAAGGAAGUUUGGAUGGAUACCCUUUGGAAAUUAAAAUUUUUAAUUAUUUUCCAAAAUAUUGAGCAUUCCAUUGACAGAUUUAAAAGUUGACCACGAUGCAAAAUGCACUUGCUCACUUACUCUCAACCAUCUCAAGCACUAUUUACAAAUAUAGAAGCAUGCCCAUGCAAAAGAUCAUAAAGAUUAGCAUGUCUAACACAAACCCCUAGGCAAAACACCAAAAAGUUUCUCAAACGAAAAACAACUGAUCAUGAAAUUUCAACUGACAAUACCCAUAGAGCAAAUCAAAGUUAUAUACCGAAUAACUGAAGCAUAAUUAUUGCAUAAGCUCUAGAAUAAAUAUGAUUUAUACAUCAAUUUGAUUAUGACACAUAUGGAUAUGCAGAAACAAAAUCCAGCCAACAUUUCCAUGCACAUUAAGAACUAUAAUGAUGUUUCAGAAUGCUCCAAAUUCAGAUACCAUACAAAAAUGGAUCUUUCUACAGCAUUUAAAAUAACUAACAUAAAAAUCCUCCUCCAAAACCUAUACUGAAGCAUCAGCAAACCCUAAAAAUUUUACCACUAUAUAGUUGUUCACCAAAUCCAAUCAAUUAAAACAACUAACAAGGAGAAAUCAAGGAAGAAAAUUGUUCUUUCCAAAAUAGUUUAAGAGAAAGCCCCAAUACAACAACUCAUCAUCAAAUCAACCACAAAAACGAUGGAAAACAGAAAAAAAGCAAUCGAAAUGGCAUCAAUUUUUCAGCGUCUAAUGAAUCCAAAACCAUCAACAAAACAGGAAACCCACGCAUCGAUCGCCCAAACCACAUGGGACCAAAACAACCCAACGAGGGAUCAAACCCCUCCCAGCCAAUCGGAUCAGACAUCCAAAGAACAAAGAGACCACGAGGAAUUCAAAUUCUUAAUCAGAAUAGCAUGAAAAGGGGAAGAAAUCGGCCCUUACCGACAUGAAUUCUUCCAAGAAACCAAUAAGAAAGGAAGAGCGGGGGUGUGGGGGUGGUGGUGGGUGUGAAGGGAUGGGGGAGAAGCGAAGAAAACGAAAUGAGAGAGAGAGAGAGAGAGAGAGAGGAGUGUCCAAAGUUUUAAUUUAGUAUUGCGAGAGAUAUUUUAUUAUUUUUGGGUUUUAAAAAUUCGAUUUGAGGUAAGACUAUUCGUGCGUGUGAGCUGGAGGUGCGUGGGAAUGCCCCGAGGCCGCCGUCAAAAAUAACGGCGACGGAGGUUGGGAUUCCGCCAUGUGGGUCGCAGAGAGAAAGCUGGGGCGUGGGAUGCGGCUGACGAAACGGAACGGAACGGAGGCGGCAGGUUGGGCGUGUGGGUGUCGUCAUAUAUUCGUUUUCCUUUUUCUUUUUGGGUAAUUUAGUGUUAAAUUUUUUUCAUAUUUUUAUUUUCAUGCAAGUAGGAAGGUUGUUCGAGGGAUGAUACUAAAGGACAUCUGCUUUGUCACAAAUUAUCCCUCCACCCACAUGGCAAAAGGGGAUUGGUGAGAUUAUGAAUUGGUAUAAUACAUAAGGAAGUAGAUGGGAUUUUGAGUUACCAUGCCAGUUACUGUGUGACUAAUGGGCGUCUCAAAAGCAUGCUUCAAUAGAACAUAAAAAGACUAGGAAAUGUUAACAAUUAUUGGAGUUAAAAGGAGGAUUAUUGACAUACAUGAGCUAAAAUCUUAACAAUAUUCCUACAUGAGCUAUAAGGUACAACAUAGGAUGGCAAUGGAUCAGAUAUGGGUCAGAUAGGCCAUUACUCGUAUCUAUCCCAUACUUGCCUUGAGACAAAUCUGAUGGUAAGAGUUAGACACAGCCAGUUGGAUAGAUUGGAUAGGUANNNNNNNNNNNNNNNNNNNNNNNUAAUAUAUAUAUAUAUAUAUAUAUAUAUAUAUAUAUAUAUAUAAUCUCAAGAAAGAAAUUUAUGAAGAAUUAUAUUUAUAUAUAUAUAUAUGUAUCGAGUUCGAUGCGGGUUUUAUUAUUAUCCACCCCGCCUCGGAUCUACUACAGGUUGGGUAAAACCUAUUCCAAUAGGAUCGGAUAUAUGAUGAAGCCGAGUAAAUGGUCCUUUUCUAGCCAUUUAUCCUUGAAAGAAUUAUUGACAAUUUUGUUUUGCAGUGAUGUAACUAAUGCAAGUGAAACAAGAUAGCCCUCAAAAGAGGAGAAAAACGGGCAACUACAACUUCUUGAAAGUUCUCAUAUGUCUGCUUUUUCUAAUUUCUAGCAGUUUUCUCUGCUCUAAUCACUUUAAAGACAUGUAUCUAGUUUUAUAUCCUCUCAUUUGUUAUCAAAUACAAUUUUCCACUUACAGGCAAUAAAAUUUCAGAUAUAAAUAGGCUGGGUCAAUCAAUUUACAAGUAACCAAAAGAGUAUAAAUACAAGGAAAGCAUACCUAAACCUGCAUAAAGGAAUAGCUAGCAAACAUUAUAAAAAAAAAGCAACAGAGAAAAAGCAUCAUCAUACACACCAAGAAUUUAGACUUGUAAUGCUUUUACGAGUGUGCCAUAUCAUUAUUAGACCUCUCCGAGAAUAAGGCAUGUGGGGGCAUAUGCCAAUACGUGUUAGCUCCGCUGGUUGCACCUCUCUCUCCUCAGGACAAGUUUAGACCCCACUGGUGGCAAAUCAGCACCUGUAUUUCUUGUAAAAAAAAAAGUCAGGAGUCAAAAGCAUCAUAUAGUGGGUCAUCAUGGGUGAGGCAACACAAAAUAAUCAAUUUGCAAUCUAACCAUAACAAUAACAACCUAAGGACUUACAGUGCAAGUGUGAUGUACAGGCAAUCCUUAAGCUCAUCUGAAAUUUGUCUUUUCUAUGAGCUGUGAUCGACAAACUUACAUAAGCUUAGGAAAUGAUAGAAAGGUUAAAGCAAAAUUGAAUUGAUAAUAAAAAGGUAUAUACAAGAAGGACCAGCUUAUUCUGCAGUUUGUACAUAUUGCUUAUUAAGCUCCAAGCGACCACUUUUGCCACCAAAAUCCUAGCCAAAGGCGGUCCGGUCGGAUGGGUCAUCAUUUCAUGCAACAUUGACAUAUGAUUAUUGCAGACAAGCUUUCUACUUAAUCCACUUAUAAUGGCAUCUAAAUGACACUGCUGGGUGACAUUUGCAAACGUUUCAUAGAAUUAACAAGUUUGAAAGAGUUGGUCAUCUGACAUUUCUCAUGGUACUUCAUACUUGGUAAUAAGCAUAUUGAAAGUCAGGUCUUCAGGAAUUAAUGACACCUCCUCCUCACAUCUUCUCCAAAAAAUUUACCCCAAUAUCCAUCAUAUCAGACUUGCAAAGACCGAGAAUUAGUGAAUGAUAUGCAAGAUCAUCAGGCGAAAAGCCCAUCCCCUAUCAUUGUUUUGUUCAGGUUAAAUGAUCUUAUUAGUUGGCAUUAUUUUUGAUAUAUCCAUGCACUAGAAUGUUAUAAGUAGCCAAAAUUUAUCAAUUUUUUAAAUAAAUUGCCCAGGAGAUUCAUAGCAGCAUCCAGCUUGAAGCUUCCAAUAAGCAUUCAACAAAGCACCAUUAAGUAAUCUCAUCAGGCAGAGCUGGGUGCAGACAGCCCAUAACUUCACUCAGCAAUGCCAACACGAUGGGCAGCAGCUGUCCGUCUCAAAGAUGGGCAACGUGUCACCUAGCCGAGCCAAAAACACGCACUGGUAUCUGUCGUGCAAAACACACCGCAACGGGAUUCAACUCUGUGGUGUGCUCAUGGUGCGUUUUCUUAGGAAACGACCACCUGAGACAAAAUGUAACCCGGAAAAUAUUUACAUCAGUUCUCUCACCCUACAAGAAUUGUAUGCCUAACUCUAAUAGACAAAGUCAAUAGAAAGUUUUGACAUCUGGACCAAGCCAUUUAAGCUAAUAUAUAUAUAGAUAUAUAUAUAUAUAAGCCAACCAAUUAUUCAUUUGAACAGCCGCUAGCCUCCACAAUCUGUGGGGCAGAUAAAGGGUGUCUAAUACAAAAAGGAAAAGAAAAAAUAUACAUAAAGGCAGGCUACUGUUUUUCAAGCAUAUACACUCCUCAAAAUUAACUGUAGAGCCUAUAUCCAAAAACAAAAAGGACUCCAAGCCCUUGGUAUUGCUGUCAGAGUGCAGAAUAUCUUCCCUGACUAUAAGGUAGCUAGGAGUUCGAGGUUAGAUUAGUUUUCCCUUCUCCAAAAACUUCUCCUAUGCCAGCCAUUUCAGAGAGACAAGCUUUUGACAUCAGCUUCAUCUGAUUGCCUCUGAAACCUGCGAGACCAUCACUGGUGAUUACACAAUCAAUGAACUGCAAAAUAUGUUCAAAUAAAGACUAAGCACAUCCCAUCAUUUAUUUUUUUGCUAAUCGAUUAGAACAUGAUUGACCUGCAGUGCUGUAAAGAAAAUAAAUUGAGUCUCUUUUUGGUAGCAAAAUAAAUACGGUCCUGGUAACUAGUUAAAUCCUUUGAUCUUAUCAGUACUUUUUGUUCAAGCCCUCUCCAAAACACUAAGGAUCUAGCAUUGAUUGCAUAUACAUUUUCUAGUACAACCACAGAUACAACCAUUCUUGCAAGCAUAAUAUCUAGGUAUACUUGAGUCAAUUUUUAUGUUAUUUCAACAGCAAAAAGUAAACUCAUCUACACCUAUUAAAAGUCCAAGGAAUUUUCUAAAACAAAAGCAUUGUCUAAAGUAACACCUAACAUUUUAAUUCAACACCAGACCAAAAGCAGCCAAAAAGAUUGCGACAAACAAAAACUAUAAGCUGGUGGAAACAGAAGACAUGCUAACCUGUACAUCGCAAUCAGAAAAGGAUAAUUGGCACCAAGGGGAGAGGUUGACAAGUACAAAACAUCAACCAAAGCCAAAACCUUCACUAGCUUCAUGGAUGGCAAGCAGCAAGCGUUCUUCUAACUGCUCCUUGGAGGAAUAUUCCGGCAGGUCUAGCUGGUUGAAACUGCAAUUGUUUAUAAUAAACUUUUGAGUAACAUCAAUAUUUUGAAAAAGCAACAUCCUACUUGUUACGUAACAUUGCAGUACUGAAAUGCAUUCUAGUUUUGCUCCUUCGGUUAGCAAGUCUAACCAGGUAUGGGCAGAAGGUAGUCUCUCCGGAGCACCAUAUGCCUUGUGAAUCUGAAAAUGUUGAGGGCCAGAAAGACCCUGCAAUGCUUUAAAGCCCUCUAAGGGAACCUGAAAUGGCCAGAAGCAAUUCAUUUAGAGAGAAGACAACAGUAGUAACAGGGACAUCAAUGAUGCCUGCUGAUCUAAAUUAAAAAUUAGAUCAAAUAUUUUGCUUUUCUUUUCAUCAGAAAAAUGUUAAUUUCUAUGCAAGCAUUAACAGAAAAUAUGAUCAACUUUAAGAGGCCAUGUAAAUUCAACCUUGACCAUCCAGUGAAGGUCAAUCACCAAAAAAUCAAGAACUAUAUAAACUCAAGGAUAGUCAAGAUGAGGUUACUAGCAUAUCAAACUCCAGUACACUAUCGUCAUCCAGAAUUAACCUUAUGCAAUUCAACCUGGAUUCUAAUGGUGUGUGCAAAAGAGAUAAGAACAACUGACUGACUGACAUUGAUGAAAAUCAUGAGAAAGGAUUUGAAGAUAGAGCAUGAAACCCUUGAGAGGAUUAGAUCUAAAUGACAUUUAGCUCUAGAAAUUAACUAGAAUUGAAUUUAACUUUCCGAGCCACAAGUUCCAGGAGUUGUAAGUUCUCAUGUGGCAAAUCAUUUCAUCUUUAUAAAUAUAUAAUCAUAUAAAGUUACACAAUAGUGCAGGACACCAAAUAGACACAUGCAUUGCUCAAGUUAGCCUUUAAUUUCAUAUUUUUUUAUGUUAUUCUUUUUUUAGUCAUUUUAUAAAGUUUACUUAUUUUUUUUCUAAGAAUAAUUCACGUAGGUAUUUGUAUAAGCACUCACCUUCAACUUCAUAACUUUAAAACAUUACAUAUAUCUUAGUUUUUAUUGCUUGCCGAAUAUAAAUGCUAGUUAUUUGCAGUGAAAACUCAUCCACUGUAGGGACAAGCAUGAAGUAUGAUCCAGAAAAAUAUUUAAGAAUUCAAAUUGUAAGCAUGAUUAUUUUCUCAUAGGAAGCAAUAAAAAGUAUCCUACAAUGGAAAAAUGAUUUACAAGAGCUUAUCUUUUCAUGUUGUUGCAGCAAGUUACAAUAUUCCUCUAAGCCAAACUCUGGGCUCCAUCUCUGUUUUGAGAGUGUAACUGAUCUAGUCAAAUAUUCACUAAAACAUGGGAUAAGCCAGCUCCUUUUCUUUGAUGAGUGAUGGAUCCAACUUUGCUAAAUUAUUUUCUUCAUGAACAAGCAUGUGUCUUUCUCAGAUAGGAAUGCCCUAGCCAAUUUUAAGAUCAAAGGAUGGCAAUACUACAGCUGAUUGAUUAUCGACUGACAUACUAAUCAUGAGUUUCCUUGUUUUAUUUGGUGAAACUCAUGUUUCUUUAGUUCCAUACUAAGAAUUCAUUUCAAACUUGGUCUUCUUCUCUAAUGAAACCUAAUUACCAAUCCUAUAUUUCCAUGAAUAAAAAGUUAACAUAAAAAAGAUCAUAUCUUGAUGAUUAGCACAUGAAAGAUAUUCACUAGCAUCAAUUCUUGAACUUGAAAAAGUAAUAGCAAAAUCUAUCACAUAAUAACCUUCCUUAUGAAUGUAACAUUAUUGUCACAUCAUAAUUACCUUAGAUGUUCCAGUUACAAAUUGAAGCAGUCUUGCCAUAUCCUCCUUGUUAAAUGCUUUAACAACCUCCCAGAACCAUUGGAUAACAGGAGAUGCAGUUGUGUAGCCAGUAUACUCUGUGUUGGCUUUCAAAUCAUCGACUGCAGGCACCAAGGUGAAUCAUAAAGAUGAAAAAAUGGUAAAACUUCUAAUAACAGUAAAAACCAAAAGCACUCACGAUCGAUUUCUGGAAGUCCACUAAUUAGAAGCUCAAGUUCCUUGUCAUUGAAUAUUGAAAUAAGUUCCCGUGGAACUAAUUCACUGAAACCCUCUAAAAAGGAAUUAAUCUGAGGACGAAUAGCUGUACUCAAUAUGUGUUCAGCCACAAGGUCCACAUAGUCAUGCUUUGUUUCUUCUGUAACUCUGAUAUUCCUUCCUCCAGGUAUAAGCUCAUAGUCAGUAACCUCCAUCACACAAAGGGAAAAAACAGUUAGUUGGAAUAAGCAUGCAUAUAAAUCAGAAAUGAAUUACAAAGGCAAUCUGCCUUUCAUUUGCAUUCAAAUAAUUUUCAACAAGGAAGAGAAAACUUGCCAAUUUUAAGUCCGCCAGAAAUUAUCUUAAACUAUAUAGCAUAUUCAGAUACUGAAUUUUGCUUACCUGAUUUUUCUCAUAAAGGAUGUGUUUUUCCUCAUCGGCAUCCAUGCUAAAUGUCAAAUCAGGGAUAUCACUUACAUCGUUCUGUUUAAAAUUCAAUACAGAACAGUUAGUUUAUUAAAAAUACCUAACACGAGACCAAAACACUAAACACUAACCUCAAGCAUCCACUUCAAGUUCUUGUAAUAAUCAGGAUCAACAGCUUCUAUGUCAUGAUAAGUUACUUUCACACCAAGAAUGUGCUUGUAAAAUGAGCGAGUGAAGUGAACAUCCAAAAGUUGGCCAUCAAACAGUGCUUUUGCAACCUGUAGAAUUUGUUGAAAAUAUAAAAUGAUAAAGAAUUUUUAAAAGAAUUACUAUAGUGAGAAUGAUCAGAUUCAAUAAAGAACUGAGGAAUAUAUUAUACUACCACACGGCCCACAAACUUGAAAUAUGAAAGAUGCUCCGUUUGGUAAACAGAAUUUGGAUUAGGCUGGAAUGCUGCAUUAUUCCCAACAGUAGUGAAAAGCAAGGCUCCUUUGUCAAAAAUGACCCUUGAGAGCACUUGAUACCAUUCCCUUGUUAGCCCACCAGCAUCAAUCCCCUCUUCUCCCUGAAAUUGUACAGUUAACCGACCUUUCAAGUCCUGACUGGGACGCAACCGCAACUGAUUGUAUGAAUCCUCCAAGACAUAUGCCCGGCGAACACUGAUCCGCAGAGGAGCAGAAGGGUGAUGGUCAUGUUGCUGUCUAAUACGUGACCGAAAAUAUGCUCUCUUGUUGUCAAAAUCAAUCAGCCUUGGAACUUUCAACAUCAUAGACAGUGACUUUUCGAGCAAACUUGGACUUUGCCUUAUAAAAACAUUCAGAAGGCGUCGAUGCUUCUCUACAACCCUUGCAAAUGUCAUAGUGCCAGUUCCACUGCACUUAAGGGAUGGUGACAAUGAAGUACUGGCAAAUUCUUUGACUUCUCUUGCAGUCACAUUGUUAUCUGGCAGCGCAACAGUUUGGUUUGUCUGCAGCUUCUCGCACAGAACAAAAAAAGCUUCUAUGAAUGGCAAUAGCUGCUGUGUGCCAGGAGGAAGAAGUGGAGAAAGAGAGGAAGAGGCACCAAUAUCACCAGCAUCUGGCAAAAGUACAGGAGAAGAGAAAGUUGAACUCUGCCCUAGCUUUGCCUCAGUAGUGCUAAUGCAGUCACUUAGUUCUUGCCAUAAUGGCUCAAGAGCUGCAUUUAGGUUCCAUAAUAUAGAUUGUUCCUCAUGUUCCUCAACAUCUUCGCCCUUUUUCUCAUCAACUGAAGUGAGUGCACCGAGUGCUUGUAGCACACGCAAGACUGCAGCUCCAGCCAUAGAACCAGCACCAAGUCCCAGCAUUUGCGUAUUCCUCAAAGUUACGAGCUCAGAAACAGCAGAAGAACUCAAAUUAUGAGCUAAACCUGCUAGCUCAGUUGCAAAGAAUUUUCGAUGGGGAGAAGCAACAGAUGCUAAUUUUUUUACUACUUCAGCAGCAAGUGAAUAUACUUUAUCUGAAAGUCUGAUUAAUACAUAAAUUAAAUUAGUCACUAGGGCUAAUUCAAAGGAGACAAUGGAGACUCAAAACUAGUCACCACAUGAAAUAGGAAAGUUUCAACAUGCAAAAACAGCUUCUAAGACCUGGCCUAAUAUGGAGACUCCAAACUAGUCAUCACAUGAAACAGGAAAAUAAUAUAUGCAACUACAACUUUCUGAGAUCUGGACUAAUAUGAACAAAACCGAAUAAAUAUCAAAAGCAUUAGCCAGAAAAGUCCAGACAGUAAAAGGGGUGAUGCAGGUCAAUCAUGUGAAUGGAGCCAACUCAUAACUCAAAAAUGACCUGAGUUAGUUUCCAUUUUUUAAGUACCUGAAUUUGAGGAAAGAAAUAAGAUAAAUUGGAAAAAAUCUUGAAUAGAUCCAAGGAUUAGCAAUGCUUUCACAAAUAUGAUUAGUUUAAUAUUACUGUUUUUCAACAAAGUGACAGAUAAGAUCAAUUUCAUGAAUUUUGAUAACCCUUUACUUUUUUCAUUGUAAUCCAAUAUUUACAACAUUGUUGAUAACCCUUCAAUCUUUGGGGAUUAAUAGAUAUGCGAAAUAUACACCUUCAAGAUCGGCCAAAAUUUUAAGAGGAAAAAAUAAUAAUUUAGUAAAAUGGUUAAGUGUUUUGCCUUCUGAGCACAAAACUAGCCCUCUUUAUCUUUUAAUGAAGUCUUCCAAACAACUGUUCAUGCAAAGAUGGACGACCUUGGAGAGAGGUAUGUCAAGCAUUGCCCUUUCUCAGCUAGUUACCUUCUAAUUUCUCAUAAGAAUCAAGAUUCAUAGUAUUCUUGUUUAAAUCAUAAUUACAAUGUUUAAUAAGUAUAAUGGAUGUAAGGAAUUACUGAAUACAAAAAUGUUCUAUUAACCAAAUAUCAAAAGCACAUUAGCUAAUGGAUGUACGACUAUGAUGGUGCACCAUUAGAUAUGAUAGUUGAAAAGUAAUAUGAGUAUAUAAUGUUGUCUUGGCUAAACAUUCCAGGAACAUGAGGAAAAAGAAAAAGGAAAACAAGGAGUGAUGGUUCAGUGUCUAUAGGAGCUUAAAUGACAGUAGUGAGAAUUAUACAAGUUUGAGCCAGCAGGAAAACUGGUAAUAAGAAUAAAAGGCCAAGAGAGUCCAUAAAACCAACUCAAAGCAGUUGGGAUAACACCACUGGUUGUGGUUAUGCAUAGUUAGUUACUACAUUGGCAUGUGAAAAUGCAUGAGAUACUCUGUUUCGGCAUAAGAACAGUAAAGCGUAGAUACAUGAACACGUGGUGUUUCUCUUUCAAUACUGAUAUACUUGAAGGCUGUAGAUAAAUAUUCCCAUCUCUACUUAUUGGGCAUCCUCUGUGCCUAACCAUUUCCAGAAUGUCUAAGAGAAAGGCAAAUCAAAAGAAACACAUUUCACAACCAAUGUGUUAAAACAAACCAAAUCCUCUGUGCCCUACACUUCAACAAACAGAAGGGAGAGUGUUAAAACAAAGCAAAUGACAGUAGUGAGAAUUAAACAAGUUUGCAUCGACAGGAAAACUGGUAAUAAGAAUAACAGGCCAAGAGGGUCCACAAAACCAACUCAAAGCAGUUGGGAUAACACCACUGGUUGUGGUUAUGAAUAUUUACUACUUGCUACAUUGGCAUGUGCAAAUGCAUAGAUAUUCUGUUUCAGCAUAUGAACAGUAAAGCAUAGAUACAUGAACACCAUGGUGUUUCUCUUUCAAUACUGAUAUACUUGAAGGCUGUAGAUAAAUACUCCCAUCUCUACUUAAUGGGCAUCCUCUGUGCGUCACCAUUUCCAGAGUGUCUAAGGGAGAGGCAAAUCAAAAGAAACACAUUGCACAGCAUGGGAGUUCAUUAUCUCAGUUCGUUCAACUGCUAGGGCAGCACAUAAAUCAUUAGCUUAAGAAGCAGCAUAUGUAGUAGUAGUAGUAAUUCAUAAUUGCAAAUUUGGCCAGUACAGGGAUUGCACUACUUAAUUGACAUCAAAGUUCCAAGCAUAAUCAGAACCCCAGCAAAUCAAAGAAGUUGCUUUUAACAAAAUAUAUUUCUAGAUAAAUGUUGGCUCAAAAAAUUUACCCUUCAUGAGCAAGAAUGGUGCAGAGGUUGUGUAAAUCAGAGUCAGGAAGCUGUAAAAGAAGAUCAUAUUGGCUCACAGGGUUAUUCCUGCCCGAAGAUGGCACCACCAGGCAAGGACCUUGAUUCUUCUCCAGACCAGGGUUCUGUUCUAAAGUGGAAGAAUCUUUUUGAGUCUCUUGAUUCGCAGAACCAUCUGCAGCUUGUGCAGAGGGAGGCGGGCAAUCAAUCUUUGAGACAACAGUGUUAACUACUACUUGGAUCAAGGACAUAACCUGCACAAGCGACCAAAUCCAGUUGCACAUGCAAGUAAAAUGCAAAUAGAAAUACAUCAGCAAUCCAUCAUAAGCUUGCGAGUACCUGCUCAAGAUGUGCAUUGCUGCGCAGAAAUAACGGUCUGUUCAAAAGCUUCAAAAAUAUAACUAGAGGCAUAGAACCCUUAGGUGAUGUUUCUGGAACACUUGAUGAGGCCAUUGCCUCAAAGAUUUUCUCUUUACCUUUUUCCCUCUUGUUUUCUGAAUGGAUACUGUUUGAGGAUUCUGAGGCCAACACACCAUCAAAGUCAAAAAGAAUGUCUGCAACAGAUGAAUGAUUUGUUGCCAGGUAUGUCAGGAUUUCAAGAACUCGACGAGACACGAGAGUUGGAAGGCCUACAAAAUAAUAACCAUGAAAUGUCACGAAACAAAGAUAAUGAUAACAGAGGAUUACCCCCAAAAAAAGAAAAAGAAAAUAAAAUGAGAUAAGUAAAAGAAUAAACAGAGGCAAUACCAUCUGUGGGUUGAGGACGGCCAUAGACAAUAUUCCACUGACAUCCAUAAAGCCGCUGAGAAAUCAUGCUUGCCGACCCACUAUGCCCAUCAGCCUCAGGUCUAAUCAUAUCAACUAAAAGGCCAACCAAAAUAUUACGUGUAAUACUAUGUGCACAUAGGUUCAAUAGAAGUCUUUGGAGAAGGCCUUUGCCCAGGGGCUGCCAACAAAAUAAAUACAAAAAGAAAAAGUGAUGCCACAUUAGUUCAGCACUGAAAUUACCACGGUAAGUGGUUCUCUGUUGACCUGCUUACAGCAGGUCAAAAGAAAGCAAAACUCAUACAUAAAGAUCCCACUUCCACCCCAUACUCAAAAUUUCAUAAUGAAAGAAAAAGUAUUAAUCUAAAUCCACACUCUGCAACGAGGGAAACGUAUCCGGACACAAUAAGACUCUUCCAGAUAGUACAUGGUUUUAAAAUAUCGGAUAUAGUAACAACAUCGUACAUGUACAACAAGUUAUUUAUAAAUACAUAAAGCAGUCAAAAGUUAUACAUGUUCUUAAAGUCAUUUAAUUCAAUGAAUCAUUCAAACGAGAUUCUGCAGAAGUAGAAUUUUGGAUGUAGUUAAACUGCACAUUUUCAGUCCCCUCUUUUUUUCAAACAACGCAAAAUGAAUCUAAAUAUGAAUUAUAAGCAUGUAAAUAAGUAAAUCAUAUUACUAUUUAAUAAACUAAGUUAAGAGCACCAACCAGUUGUUCCAACAAAGCAGCCAAACAAUCACCUAUUGAGGGUACCUAGGCAAUUAGACUACAGUGACGUAGGUCAACUCUCAAAAUCAUGUCUCAACUAAGUGCAAUGAGAUCUGAACCACAUUAAAACCAAUAUAAAAACGUGUAUAAGUACAUAAUCACAAAGAAAUUCUAGUAGAAUAAAUAAAAUACCUGAGCUAAUCUUAAAAGGCGAAUAAGAGCUUUCAAAGCAUUUGCAUCCAAAAGAGGCAUUCCCUCAAUUUCUUUGAUCUUUGAGCUGUUUGCAGUGGCAGACACUGCUCUUCGACCUAUAGUAACUCCCACACCUCUAUCCAUUACUAUCUGCCUGUCAAUUGCCAGCCUCCUGCCACCAAGUCUAUGGCUUCCUCCAAAGAAGCCGCUUCGAGGAUGGUAUCUAUCUCUAAGCAUUUGGGCCUCAGCAAGUAAAGCUGAAGGUAAUGCUGAUAAAACUGCUUCAGAUGAGGUAAGGAGUACCUGCAGUAGGGAAUAGUGGAAAAAGUCAUGACACUGCAAGAUAAUAUAAAUUAAUAAUUAUCAAAAGACAUACCUCCUCACGUAGAUCAGGAGGGAAAGUAGCUAUAAUCGAAGCAUUAUCCAUGUCAACUGGUUGCCCCUCCGCUGGCUGAGAAUGCAUGCUUCUCUGUGCUCGUUGUUGAGCCAAAACUUCAGCUUGGAUAUCUGGAGGAAGAGCAGCUAAAAAUUCAGGAUCUAUUUCUUCUGUGGGUGGUGGAACAUAUGUUUCAGCUUGCGCAGAUCGAGGUUGGGAAAUUUGCUGGGAAGCCAGCACUUCAGCACGGAGAUCCUCUGGCAGUGCCUCCAAAAAUGUUGGGUCAAUUGCAUUCGUGCUAGAAGCCUCAUUGUUGACAUUGACUUGAUCAGCCUGAUUAGCAUCUUGAGGAACUGUUGGAUUUAGCCUGGCAGAUAAUUCUUCUCCAUUAGAAGCAGUUACAGGGCUCUCAAAUUGAUCCCCAACGGUGUCUGCUCCAUUCAUAUCAAUAUCUGCACUUGCAAGAGCUGAACCAGCAUGACCAUCACUGAACUCUGGCAUGCCAGAGCCUGAAGAAAUAAGGGCAUGACUACUAGAAUGGCUAUCCAAAACUGACAGUCCCUCUCUACUUUCAUUGUGCAAUUCCAAAUUGUGAGGAUUGGCAGGUGCUUCAGAACCAUCUAGCAUAGGGUGAUCCAGACUUUGUAAGUCAGCAGAUGAUAUAUCCAUUUCAGGAAUAGUAUCUAAAGGCACAGUGGUUGGGCCAACUUCUUCCACAGGUCCUUCCCCAUAGUGUAUGGUCUCACUACCAUUACGUGCAACAUUCAGAUCAUCGGGAAAUCUUGGCCUUAUUUCUGGUGUCCCUUGACUCUCCUCUGCUCCAACAACUGACUGUGCAUCAAUUAUUCCAUGAGACAGGUUUGGAAGGCUUGUAUCAACUCCAACAGGCAAGUUCCCCGGCUGAUGCCCUGGACUAGUCUCUAAUUCUUGAUGCUGUCCUUCACUUGGUUCAGUGGGAAGAUCAUCUGCCACAGGUGCAUCCCUAUUGGCAUUUAAUAGAGGCGAUUGUUGGUUAGCUUGUCCUGCAGAGAGAUCAAGCUGUCUCUGAUCUGGAGGGUCAUUGACAGUAAUUAACCCGCGCAACUGAGACACAAAUUGUUCCUCUACUGCCUGUGCAAUAGCAGCAGCAUGGCUACCUGCCUGAGGCAGACCAUCAUCAGUCCACCGACUAUCACCAGCUCCCCUUCUUCCACCAAUAUUCAAAGAAUCCAUGCCAAGUGAGAAAUCAAUUAGAGGAGGGGGUGCAGUACCAACCAAACGGUCACCAAACAUAGUUGCAACAGCAUGUUCAGAUGGAAGUCCAGCAUCUAACAUGUAGAAAUGGGCUACAUCAAAACCUCCAAAUGAUGAAGCUUCUAAGUCUCUAGAUGAGUUCCCGCUAGCAGACCACAAUGAAGCAACCGGCUCCCCUAAUUGUGAAGGUCUCACAAGUAAUGGAUGUUGGAAAGCACUUCCUUCAAGCCUUGACCGAGAAAGAAAAGUCCUGCUACUUUGACGGCGGCGUUCUAUACCCAAUAGACGACGAAGACGGGAUAUGUCAUCAUGAAAGGUCUCUGCAGCAACAUCAUUGAAACUGCUUGCAUCACCAGGUCCCCUUAAAACUCGCAGGUGAUCUAACCCAGAUAAACCAUCCCUCCACCUCACCUCAAUAACACGAUUAUCAGGGAAACCGUCAUCUUCUUCAUCAAGCAUGUCAUCAUUAUAUUCAUCACCCAUACCAUUGUCAUCAUGGUCCUCCACAUCUGUAUCAGCUAAAGACAUUAAUGCAGCUCCUUCUUCAGCUAUAUCUUCAUCCUCUUCCUCAUCCUCCUCAUCGUCAUCAUCAUCUUCACCAUCCUCCCCUACAUCCUCCUCAUCUUCAUUGCCCAUAUCAUCAUCUGUCUGGUGUUCAACAUGAAAAGUCAUUCCAACCUCAUUUGAAUUCCGUAGUGCACCACCUUCAUCCAUGUCCUCACGCAUAUACUCCAACACAUGUUCAGCAGGUGCAUUAGUGACAGUGUUUUCCUCCCCAUCAACUCGCAUAUCCUGCUCUAUAGACUGCUCUGUAUUUGUCCCAUGGUCCCUAUCAUUUUGAGAAGGUUCGUGAAUCUGCUGCUCUGCAGGUUGUACUGUAACAGUAGCUUCAUGCUGAUAGUUUGCAUUUUGACCGUGGUUUUCAGUUUCAACUUCAGAAGUAGUCUGAUCUACAGUUCUACCUUGUGCUCCAGAAGAUCUUUUCUUACCAAGCCCAUCCAACUUGAGCACUUGAUCACUAGCAUUGGCAGCUCUUGUAAGACUUUCUAAAGCCUUGAGUAUCAUGUUUACAACCUUUGGAGCAUCUGGGUGGUCCAAAUCUAUCACUCGAAGGAUACCAGAAAGUGACUGCACCAUUCCCCCAUCUAUCAUGGCCUUAGCAAAAUCAGGUGAGCAUCCAGGACCAGGCAAGUUACUGGACGACAAAUUUCUGGACAAAAUAGAAUUUACCAGACCAGCAAAAGCUAAAACCUUCUUGUCAGGUAACAAACUGCUUUUAGAGGAGUUGCCUUCUGAAUCUAAAAUAGAAGAAAAUGCUUUCACAAUUUCAGAAAUAACUCGUCUGCGCCCCUCAGUAGAUCUGCCGCAUAACACUACCAAGAACCAAGAUGCUUUUUCAGACAAUUUAUCUUUCCAUUCAUCUGAGGUUUCAGCAGUUCUCUCAGAAGACACUGGAAGUAGCUGAUGCAAAACAUGAUGCACUAUUCCGCCAUUUCCAGGGCCACCUGCUAGCACAGAUCCCCGUAGCUGACAUGUCUCCAUAUCCCGUCUCAAGAUUACACUUACUGCAUGGACAUACAUGAGAAGUAUGUCACUCAUCAACUUCAGGACAAAUGUCAACUUCGCCAGCCAUGCAGAUCUUUCAGAGAGACUAUCAUCAUCCACCUUCUUUGUCUCAUCAACUUUUGAUUUACCCUUUUCCUUUAUAGCAGAUUCAUCAACUUCCAUAGGAGUUACCGCACUAGCACUUUCUUCAAUUUUCUUUGCCGACGGAAAGCUCAUAACAAUUUCCAAAAGUUGAUCAAUCACCUGGGAAAGAUUAGCAGGAACUCUUUUAUGGCUUCUAGAACAUUUGCCGGUAUCAUUAGGUCUAUUCUCAGGCAUCUUAAUAGGCUCAUUAGAAGGGACCCCAGUUUCAAUGCCACAAGCUUUCAUUUUGUCCUUAUCUUUUUCUUUUUCCUUCAACAAGACUAUGUUCAUCCUCCCUCCUGAUGACUCCAAUUGACAAACUGCAGCUGCAGCUCUCAUAAAGAUCUCAGGAUCUCUAGAUAUGACAGGUGCCAUGGAUGUCAAAAAUAUGCGAGGUGAAAGACGGCCAGCAUGUCGGCUAAGAGUGCCAGUAAGGGUCUGCCUGAUUUCCAAUUCCAUAGCAGUUUGUAGAGUUUGAGGAUCUUCAAUGAGGUGCCGAACAAUAACAGAUGCUAAGCUGUCAAACCCAGGGAAUAUACAAGUUCUUGGAAGACUAAAAAGAGCAGCUAAACCUCCAGUUUCAAGGAACUGUGUUGCUAUAGCAUGUGUUUUUGUCAAGCGUGCACAUAAUUGUAGAAUAGCCUGCAUAGCUACUGCUGGAACAUGCUGCUUUAUAAGUUCACAUGAGAUAGCCAAUGCCCGUUGACUCUCCUCGAGAGAUAGAUAACCAGUUGAUUUCCCUAAAAUCUUCUCAAACGCAUUGCCAGAUUCUCUCUCAAGGCCAUCUAACUCAGAUUUUUUCUCAGUGGCAGAUGAAGGAUUUGCCAAGGAGAUGUCCACUCCAGAUGAAUCAGAUAAAGAUCUAGAAGAACCUUCAGCAGUUUCUGUAUUAAAUUUAGGUCCAGACUGCAACAUAUUAUUGAUAAUAAGCAACAAAGCACUUACAAUUCUUGUUGCUGAAGGCUCAUUUCUGGACCCAUUCCUUACUCUGAAGCUAGCCAGUAUAUCCAGUACAACAGAAACGGUACCAUUCUCUGCAGCAAUUUCCCUUGUGCUACCGUCUUCACUGAGAAGCAGCGCCAAAAUAUGCGAGAUAGGACAUAGUGCACUGAUAUCCUUCGAAAAAUCUGAUGGGCAAAGCUUAAUCUGCUGAACGAGAUACAACGUCACCCUUGGACGGUCCUCCCCUUUGUUUCGAUUGCAAAGUGUCACUAACAGAUCUGUCAAUGGAAAUGCCAUCGAAUCACUACUUUGAAACAACUUCAUUGAUGUACCAAGAAUAUCAUCAACUGGGGGCAUCUCCGGCACCCUCUCUUCAGCAAAUGCAUUUCUUGUCUUAUCAUUGCUAUCCUCUUUGGGUGUUUCUGAUGAAUUUCCCAAGGACAAAGCAAGUGCCUGAGCAAGCUGAACAUCCUCCUGCACAAAUUCCUCAGGAUGGCUAAACAACCAAUCUGUGGCCAUCUCAACACUAUUUGUGCCCACAUUUCUCAGAGCUUCCUCAGCUCGAGCCCUGGUAAAACCCAUCUCAACUAUAUUGGCAACAGUAGAUUCAUCAAGUGGAGGGCUAGUGAGCCGUUGGCCAGUGCUUCCUGUGAUUCCAUUGCGACCACGCUUCGGAUCUCCAACACCAGAGUAUAUAUGAGUAAUAAUGGAAAUCAUGGAGGUAAUAAAAGCUGAAUUACAAUUAGGAAACAUAGGGUGAUUCCAUACAGGAAGGAUCACAUCUAGAACUUGUGAUUGCAACAUGCGAACAAAUGCCUCAGGGUCCCUUGGAACAGAGAAAAGAUUAAUUGAUAAUCCAGCCACAACAGGUUGAACAAGAAGCUGAGCCUGAGAUGGCAAUGUUGGAGAUAAAAGCAACGAAGAAUUGCAAUGAUAUUCCAGCAAACGACAAUAGCUUUGCAACGUAUCCAGCAGCCAAGAACUGUGAGAUACCUUCUCAUCAAUAGAGUGUCCUUGAUCAGACCCAGCAGUCGGGAUAGAUAAAGGCAGAGUCCACAGUAACUGGCUUGUAGCCUCAAAUGUAGUCAGAAGCUCCUUAAAUGUUCCAUUGACAUAAAAACUGUUCACCAAUGUGGUAUUGCAUGUACGACGUCUGCUGUCAAAAGUAAGUGCAGCCAUGUCUUCUACAACCUUUCCAAGAUACCGACAUUUAACAGAUAAUGACAUUUCAAGGCCGGCAAUAGAAUGUCCAGAAUAACUAAGGGCAUCAAAGAAAAGUUUCGCGAGAGCAGUCACAAGGCUCUUCGAUGCAGGACUCAGGGAACUGGAAUCACCUCUACGACGAGCAGAUAACCCUUUCACAAGAGUAGCAAAAAAGGAACGCAAAGCUAAACCAAGUUUGGUUAGAAGUUCUGAGACAAGGAUGUCUGGACUUCUCUUUUUAGUAUACUGAAUCAGGGAACUCUCUAAUGUGCUAAUGGAAAUUUCUGAAUCGGUAUGUGUUGCAUCCAUCUGCCGGCUAAUCCUACCACCACGUAUCCGUGACAAUGCAUGUCGACCAUGCCGAUGCAUACUUCCAGCAGAACGUACCACAGACACAAAAUCCUGUUCUACACUCCAUCGCGAUGAAGAUGUAUUCCUUAUUGAUACAGGGUUCAUAUAUCGGACUACCGGAACAAUAUUUCCAUCAUCAUCGCUCUCCCUUCCUGGUACAUUAGAAGCAGAAGAAUCUCCAGUUCCAGCUUCUUGAUCAGUAUCCCGCUUCUCAUCUAUCUUGGAAUCACUAGAUAAAGAGAUCUGCCACAUUAUUUCUUUGUAAGCCUUACCCAAUUCCUGCAGAAUAUCCGCAUCUGCAGAUCCCAACUCUGAGACCAUAGAAGUUGUUCCCUUCAAAAGAAAAUUGGAAAGUGACAACAGCCCCUCUAAACUAGAGAGACAUUUCAAGACUUCAGUUUGUUUUAAGCAGUCAAUAUCAGCUAGCUUAGUUCCACAAACUGAUGAAAGUAAUUCAUUUGACAGCUUAAGAUGUUCUCGGACGAAAGAGCAAACAGCCUUAGCCAACGCAGCAGAAUGCUGAGGUGAAAAGUUUUUAAAUGCAAUAGAUAUACUCUGACCAACUGACACAGAAAUUGGCAAUAACUGAAGAGUAAAUAAUUUAAGAACUGCUUCAAUACCCUUUUUCUCAAUGAAUACACGGCAUGUAUCUGCAUUCUGAAGAACAGUUUCAAGAAGACGAGCAGCAUUGCUUAUACACUCAGGAAGAAAUGACUCUAUGGUCAUAGAUGCAUUAUCUGAAGACACCUCAUUCAUCAGUUCAGAAUUUCCCAUCUUCAAUGUUUCCCCUUCACCAAGUGAAAUAAGCUUCCUCUCUUCUAGGUCAGUUUCCAUGGGAACAGGAGUACAAGAGCUUGGCAACUCUGUUGGAGAACAAGACUCUAAGCCAGAUCCACUUUUUGAUAUUGUAUUCAAAAUUGAAAUAAGCACAUCAACUCCAGAAGCACGUAGGGAGGAUGCAUGACGCAUUAAUUCAUCCAAUCCACUGGACAAGGUUCCUGGUGUUUCUCCACUGAGGGCUUUUAAAUAUGACCUCGAAGUGAAAAUUUUCACGAAACACCUUAGAGCAUCAUGAUCCUUCACCAGUUUAAGACCAGUGUUGUUAAGACACAAUGCGUCCAAGCACUGGGGGAUACAUAUUACUGCUUCAGCAGAGCAGAGAACACCACUCGUGAUGGCAUCAAGAAAAGCCCGAGGCAAGUCAGCUGCAUCAAGGGCAGGAAAACAUGUGGGAUCUUUAUGUAUAAGAUCACUCAUAACAUUUGCAGCAAGUGAAAACACUCCACCGCCAAAGUCUUUUGCCCUCCUAAAAAUAACGCACAAGCAUGGUGGCAAUACACUCUCUUCUGCGCCAUCAACACGAGCAGAACUACCAGGGACAUAAGUUGCAAGUGAUAUCGUCCGGAGUAAUGCUUUCAUUAAUAACUUCCGGUGAUAUGAAACCAAGGAUUCAGAAUAAAGAGGUUGUGUAUCCAGCUCAGAUGAACUGCCCAUGACUUGCUUGCCCUUACCAUUAUGCUNNNNNNNNNNNNNNNNNNNNNNNNNNNNNNNNNNNNNNNNNNNNNNNNNNNNNNNNNGGCGUGCAAUAGUAUCAUCCAGACCACCUAAAUCUCUGAAUAAUGCUGAAGAGGGAUUAUGGAAGUCUAGGAAGCCCUCAAUCACAUGAACUGCAGUACUAACAAGUUGUAGGUGUUGUGGAUUAGUAUCUUUAAGAAGGGGCAAAAUAGUAGGUAUAAAUCCUGCUUCCUGCAGAGCUAAAGAACCAGGAGUAGAUGAAACCAAAAUGGAGACAAGAGAUAGAAGCGCUUCAGCAAAACCGAUAGACCAUUUUGUGGAACCGCUGGUAAUAGAAUCAACUGCUUUGUGCAUGAGACUGGGAAGGAUUCCACGAUGGCCACCAGCUGUUACAGAAGCCAAAACUGUAGGUUGAUGAGAUCUGUCUUGACAAAGAGCAACCAAUGACUGAAUUCCCAGGAUUUGAAUUUUCUCAGGAAUUUCAUCUUCAUAGCUUAGUAAAGAUAACAGUUCAUUGAUAAAUUCAGGUUGAUUGUUAAAAAAAGCUGCCAUAUCAUCAGCAUCAUUGCUUGCUUGAACAAGAACUAUGAAGGCAUAUAACUGGAUACGGAUGUACUGAUAUCGAGCAGCUAAAGAGUCAAAAGCCCUUGCAAAUCUCAACCUUGUCAAUAGUGAGAAUCGUAGACUGGGAGGUAUACUGUACUCCUUAACUAACUUAUGAAGAAGUUCAAGAUCAUUCUCACUGUAACAAUUGAUUUUUGGCAUAUGAAGGACUUGCAACCCCUGUUUCUCAUGUUGGACAAUAUUGGACUCUUUUGAUGUAUCAUGAACAGAAUAGAACUCAAAAUGAAGUGUGGAGCCAAUCUCAGAAGCAAUUGGAUCGCAACCAUUUUGUAUAGAACAAGCAAUAAGUCCAAUGCCUUCUUCCCUGCCCCCCCACCCUUGUGAAAAUGCAAAUAACUUUGAAGUCAAAGAAGUAUCUCGUAUGGAGCACUUCCCAACUGUUUUCUUCAAAAAUGCAGUCAAUGUCUGAAGGCUUGCCUCAACAACAUCUGCAUCAGUUGAAGCUAGAAGAGAUGACAGAUGCUGCUGCAUUCAAUAAUGAGAGUAAAACAAAAAUAUCAGCUAAUAAUUACAAAGGAAAGCAUGGUUUUCAAUUAGAACCAAAACAUAUACUGAAAUAAAAAACAGUGACGGCAUUAUAGACCAUGAACCUUAAAAAUCAUAAAAACAACAGAAAAAGCAUGCAUCGUUUAACCAAAAAUAAAAUGCAUUACAAGAUAAAGUAGCAAAUCUCCAAUAAGAUGAUACAUACCUCAAAUGAACUGUACAAGUGCUUAUUUGUACAUUUUUCUACAAUAAUCCUUGUGACUCGAAGAAUUUGAAGAACUGCUUCCCUAGGAAAUGGAGGAUCCCCUUCUAGAAAAUUGUCUUCAAGUUGCAAAUCCUUCCUUGGCUUUAUAAACUUCUCAAAGAAUGAGUCAAAAUGAUUAAAAAGAUCGAUCCAGUGAUGAAAAUCUCCCUGUAUAGAGUGAAGAUAGGAUCAGACACUUCUGACUGCUUACAGGUUGAUAACAAUAUGAAAAAGAUUUUAAAAAGAUGACAGGAAAAACAAACCUUAUCAAACUCCCAGAUAAAGUCCCUCAGCGGUAUUUCUACAUUCUCGAGUGCAGCAGUAGUAACGCUGCUAAUAAAGGAUCUUAUAUUUAGAGGCUGUGGAAAAAAGAUUGCUAAAUUAGUUAAGUCUACUAAGGAUGGAAGACCAAAGACAGCCAAGGUUCGCCAUACUGGUGUGUACCACCUCUUCUGGCCAUAUCGUACUAUACCGGUACAGAACCAAGGCUCGUUAAGAGGAUGUACCGAGUCUCGGUACACCAAACCAACCCCCAUACCAGGUGUACCAAUACUAUACCAGCAUAGUAUCAAUACAAAAUCCAGUACCGAGAUUGCAAACCUUGAAAAUAGUGAUAGAUUGAGAAGCAUUAAAAAAAAAAGAAACUUUAUAGUUGGGAAGCGCAAAAGAAGCGCUACAGCAAAAACCAAUGAAAUAUGAGGGGCAGAAAGAGAGACAGAAUUUUUAAAAAAAAUGACAACAUAAGGCAAUUGCUUUUAGAACUAGCAAAACUGUAAUAUAUAAAUAAGACAAAAAGUUUUGCAAACAUUAACUUGGUCAAGUACAUAUUAUGAUACAAUGAAGGCAUAAGUCGGGGUGUGAAUCAUGCUGAGAAAUUGUAACAAUAUUUAAAAAGUAUUAAAAAAAAUAAAACUCAGAUAACAAACUAAAAUUCAUUAUACUAGAAAGAAGCAUGCAGUUGUUGAUGAUAAGAUGCUAAGGAAUGUGCAACAAGGACAAUGCAAGACCUUAAACCAAUAAGAUCAACUUCACCCUUAUUUUCUAGUUACAAAAAGAUGGACAUCCUUCUUACAGUGUGCAAAAACAAUCCUGAUAGAUAGUGAAGAAUCAAAAAAGGCAAGCAUGCCAUAGUCAUGAGAAAAAAAUCAUUCUUAGUAAAGAACAUCUAAUUUUAUAAUUAAAUGGGAAUGCACUAAUAGCAACCAUCUAGAUUGGAGAAUUCUAAACUGAGAAUCUGGAAAGUUUACAGAUAAAUGAUGACAGGGGAUGCACCUUUGCAACGUCAGAAGCCAAAAUCCUUCCUUAUUGAUUGUUGCCUUGGGAUUAUUUGUCUUUAAACUUAUAUUUUUAGAACAACCAUCUGCGCCCACUCAUUUUGAUAUUUGAAAGGUUAAUUGUUUUCUAAAACAUAACCAAAGUACGGCAGAAAAUAAGAAAGCUUGGAGCUCUUCAUCUCAGAAGCAUUUUGGGGAGAUUUGGAAAAAAGAAAUAGAAGACAUACCAAUCAGUGUUAUCAGUGUUAGAAGGGCCAGAGUAUUUUGUGUGUGUGUGUGUGUGUGUUGUUUUNNNNNNNNNNNNNNNNNNNNGUUGUGUGUGUGUGUGUGUUGUUUGGGGGGGGGGGUUACUUCAAAAAGGUUCCUAGCUCGGGGAACCGCUCUCGGGAGGCCGGUACACAGCAGAAAUUGGCCAGUUUCGGCCCUAAAGGGGGCAAAAUCGUUUUUCACAGCCGAACCGUACCGGUUAGGGCCGGUACUGGUACGCGCUGAACCGCCAGUUCGGGCCGGUUUAGCAAACCUUGGUUUUAAGGGAUAGUUAGAAUUUGGUUUGAUUCAAGGGUCAACCUUUAAUGUUGUCAGAUGUUCAGACUACUAAAUGCUUGUUAACAUCUUUGUUGUGAGAGUAAUUUUCAAGUUUAUUUGAUCAUUCGAUGGAAAGAAGUAAGCUAAGGUUUGUCCGUUGCCUCCUACCCUUUUGUUCUCCCAGCUUGUUUCUUCUUCUUUCCUCUAAUUCUUCUCUCCUCAUUCUAUGUUCUUCAACUUCUCUUCCAAUUAUCAUAUCCUCUCUACUAUUUAUUUUUCUGAAGUUAACAAGUGGGCAUAAUUUUGACACAUUAUAAGUCUUUUCAGUAUCCAUAAAAGCUUAGAAUCCUAAUCCUACCAACAGUUGCUAGGCUGAGAAAUUGUAGGAAGACCCUUUGGCUUUCUUGUACUCCCUAGACUUGCGACCAGCUUCAAUCUGUCCAGAUUUCUUGUGCAGAAAACAAACCUAAAAAACUUUAUUUAAAAGAUUUUUUAAAAAAAAUGUGAAACCUUCACUUCAAGGUCCAUUAUUGCAGAUAUGCAGCUGUAAAUCCUAGCUCCCUACAUCACCAACAACCCUAAUCUCAUCCUGAAAAGCCUAAGACAGCCCCUUUUUCACACUUCAAUUAUCACUUUUCAGCAGAUGAGCCCAUAUUUGUGGGUUAAAUCCAUAUACCACCUUCCAAUGUGACAGGCUAACCAUAUUUCUGUAAAAAAAAACUUAAACAAAAACCGAUAAACAAUGGAAACCUAGAAAAUAGAACUCCCAAUGCAUGCCUCAUCCAACAACUAAGCUAUGCAAGUUGGCCCUCAAGAAGUCAUUCUAUUCCUAUAUUCACCUUUCAUGCAUCUGCACAUGGAGUUGUGGAACCACGGCUUGGGGCUUGGCACAACUGCAUUANNNNNNNNNNNNNNNNNNNNNNNGGGAAGUCUAGAAUAGAAGUCCAAAAAGCCAAAAAUAAGUGGGUUGGGCAGUAAAUUAGAUAAACAUUAUUUGCAAAAUCUAUCCAUUGCCAGCAAAAGCAACUUUAUUGUACAAAGAAAAUUCAUAUUAAUAUUAAGAGACAAUCACUGUUGUAUGUCCCUUGUUUUGCUUUGAAUCAGGCCAUUUCUCCUAGCAUCUUAUCAAAGGAAAGCCUAUAUCAUUGCAAGCUUUUCUGUUUUUAAAAAUAGCAUAAAAUAAUCAGAACUCAAAAUAGUAAAAAAAACUAGCAUAUAACCCGCAUGAUGGGUACAAUUUUUUCUCCUUUUAUAUAUAAUAUUAUAAGUCAUUAUAUUAUAUAAUAUACUAAAAAUGUUAUAUAAUUAUAUUAUAGUAUUAACUGUAUUAUAUUAUAUAAUUAUAUUAUAUACUUAUUAUAAUUAUGUUAUAUAUAAUACAAUGAUUCUUGUUUUACUUUAGCUUGGUGUUUGUUUCAUGGAUUUUAUACAAGCACCCCUUUUAGCGUAUCAGUCCCUCAUAGUAGAAUUUAUAAAUUAGUCCAUGUUAUUGACCUAGUUACCCAUGAAUACUGAAUAAAAUAUAAUAAAUGUCAGGUUUUGCUUUGUGUAUUUGAAACAUUAUAUAACUAUGAGCUACCAAAAAAAAAAAAUUCUAAGUUGCCAAACAGAUAUGAGGAAAAACCUAUGAUAUCCUCAAAAUUAUAACCUCUUUUCUAUUUCCUGGAGUCAAGCAGGGUGGCUUGGACUGCAUUUCACCUGUCCCUCUGUUACGCUGCACCUUUUAUUUUCUCAACCCCCUUGAUUUGACCCUACUAUUAACCCUAUUUGAUUGCUUCCUCGAAAUCCAAAUAGAUUUUAGAUAGCCCACCCCCCUUCCUUCCAGAUUUGUAGACUCCAAACCAUGUUCCAAUCCAGCACAGCCCCUGCCACUUCCCCAUUCCCUUCCUUCCACAUGUCCUCCCACCAUCCGUGUCCUAGACCGCAUAAAACUUUUUAUAAAACCUCUCGUUGAUUUAAUUUGAUACAAAACGGAAGGUGGAUCUGAGAUCUUGUAUAGAAAUUUCCUCACAAAAUCGGCUAAUAAGCCAUGCUUUCCACUGGCUGGUUCAGUCACUGCCCAUUUGAAUUCCCGGAUGGGGCACGCUCGUGUAGUGAAUUUGGCAUGAAUUUCAAGUGAGUUUCAUUUGGACCUUAGAGUAAAGGUUAAAAAUAAAAACAGUAUCCGCAUGGAAGUAAAUAUUGUCUAAGAACCAUAUCCAUGUGGAAGUAAAUAUCGUUUGAAAUCAUGGCCCAUGGGAAAUGCCCUUCUUUUUUUUCCCAAACUGCAAAAAAAUACCCUCCAUUCAAGAAGUGUUUCCAUGUAAAAGUAAUAUCGUCUAGACAUGUGGUCGAUGGAGAGCAAUAUUGUUUGGACAUGUGGUCGACGGACAGCAAUAUUGUUUGGACAUGUGGCGGACGGAGAGCUGUACCAAUGUAAAGCCUCUGUUUUAGGAUACACGUACAUUAGAUAAUGAAAAUGGAAGAUUCCACAAUGAAUUUAAGUUAUUAGAACAGGCCUUACAGAUAGAAUGAUUUUAAUCUCGAAACUUUUGUAGGCACUGAGGGAGACAUUGUUGCAUUGUUAACACAUAUAACUUGCUUAAAAUCAAGUUCUUGCAAGUUCAAUGCAGAUUCCAUUUCUUCUAUAUAUUUGCCAGGUUCAUGGCCUGUUACUACAUGUAUUAUUUGAGCACUACUUGAAGCUUGUGUAUCAGUGACAGGGUAUAACUGCAGGUAUAGACAUCUCAAAACUUCUUAAAUACCAUUACAACAGUGUUACAUGCAGUGUCUGUUGCUUAACAAAUAAACAUAUCUUGCUUAAAUGGGCAUCAUGAAAUGUAGAAGGAAGUGAGCAUACCAAAUAUGUUCCUAGCUUGCUUAGAAUUAAGAACCCUGAUUUUUGUAUAGUUUCCCUGAUUUUUUGAAGCCUUAUAUGUGAUUUAGAAUAAUACAAGGACAAAGCAGGCUUGUAUCUCAGAAAUAAAGCAAGAAGUAACUUCUCUGAAAACCCUCUUUUUUCUCCUUUUUCCCAGUAAAUAUACAGAAAUCUCAUAAUGUUCGAGAUGGUUAGCCUAAGAGUGCAUAUCAGAAGACUCCUGAACAGUGGAAGCACAAUUUUCACUAGAACUAAGUUAAAUUAUCACAACAUAUCUAUGAAUCCUCCACACUUUCUUCUCUUUGACCUCAGAUCUGAGCUAAAAUAUCUAAAACUUUCAAGGACUUACACAGCACAAUGAACACACUAAACAAGUAAACUUUGAAGGACUAAUAUACCCUUAACUAAAACAGUUACAAUAAGAAGACAGGAACUAAAAAAAGUACAGAAAACAGGGUAAGUGAAAAGGUAAUGAAAAAGUGAUGAGGACAACAGAAAAAAAUUACAAUAGACAUGAAGGUACCCUGAAAAGCAAGAGGGAGCUAUCGAGAAUCCUGGGAUGCACAAACACUGUUUCAAAAUGUACCCAGUAAUCUCGACAACAAAGAGUAUGUUACUUCAACAUUGCAGAUAAUAGCAUACAAAGGCAUUUUUGUCAUUAUGAGAGCUUUAAUAUUCUAGACAACUUCUUUUCCAAAAUUAAGUUGACAAAGAAUAGUUUCCCCAACAAGAUAAUUUACAUUGUCAAUGCAAUUCUGCAAUUGUUCUUGCUUUAAGAUUUAGGAUCAUAUGAUCCUCUCGGACACCAAAAAUAGGGGCCACGUCAUACCGCAAGAAAGUCUAGUAAAAUUUCGCCCUUUUCUUGAUCAAGAACAACGAAAUUCAGUUUGAUCAGUUGAAAUCUAACAUAUCUACAAAGGAGAUGUUAAAAAUCAAUCGUGAUACUCACUUUCUGCGUGGCUAAUUCAAGUAAAACAACUUUACAAGGAAAAGAAAUUUAGUUUGAAAAAAAAAAAGAAAAAAAGCAAAAGAAUACAACGAAAAAAUAAUAAAACAAUGAUCACAUAAUCAAUCAUCAAAAAAAAAAAAUCUUCAUCAUGCAACUGUGUUUGUAACCAAGAAAAGAAACCCCCCCCAAAAAAAAAGUAAACACACAGUAAACAAAUAAAAAAAAAUCGAAUCUUUCCUUCGGAAUUCGAAAUCAAGAAGAAAAGAAGAAUAGAAACAUCAGACAGAAACCAAGAAACGAAUCAAGAUGAUCAGAGGCCGCAACUUACCACUUCCAAAACCCUUCUCCGUUUGAACUUCAUCUCAAAUUUCGCAUCGCCAGAACCAAGAACGGCCCGGGGAGAGCAGCCGUGGAGAUCCCGAUGGUCGCGGAACCCCACCGAAAUCCAACGCCCGAUCGCAGUAGAAUCGGCAGUAGAGUACGAUUUCUGCUGCGAAAAUCGGAUCAAGAAGGCCUGAUACGAAGAGGAGGAGAUUGAGAUUGGGCAAGCGAGAAGCUAUUCGGAUCGUUUGGGAGGAAAAUUAGGGUUAGGGUUAGGGUUUCCGUCGCCCCGAUGGAAUCGGGAGGAAAGAGAGGGAGCAGGGAGGGAGAGAGAGGGGUGGAGAUGAAUUCCAAGCAAGGAGAGCAGCCGGGGAGUAUAUAUAGCGUGGCUCCAUAGGAGAAAGGAAACGAAAAAAAAUAGCAUAAAAUUAUACACGGACUAAAAUGCCCUCGAGAUUGUUGGGAUUUAUGCUGUGGGAUAUUUCACGUGAAGUGUCCAUGGGAGGUUUUCUUAGGCUUCAAGACUAUGUUUGUAUUCGGGAUACGGGAUGUUUAUCCCCGGUAUAUCCUGGAAUAGCUGCCAAACUCCUCCAGUGGUCGGCCGGAUAACUUUAAUCCACUAAUCCGGUCGAACCGGAUCUGACGGAGUUAAUAUGCAUAAACUGUUAUCAUAGGGUCCCUGGGGUUGGUCUGAACCCGGUAUAAACCGGACUAAUGGGUUUGUUUUAUCCCUGAAUUAAUGACCAAUGCCGCCCUCGGUCGCUCCCUCCUCCUUUUCGCCGGUGCUCGCUUCUUUCCCUCUCUCUCUCUGCUCACCCUCUGCCAUGGCCAUCUCCUCCGAUCUGUCGCUGAUCCUAAUCGAUUGCGUUCCUUUACUUCGUCAUUAACUUCGUCUCAUCUUCUUCCGAUACUUAAGGCGGAGCUCGCUCGCUCUCGUUCCCCCUCUCCUCGUGGGGUCUUUCCUAGGGUUUGUGGGCGGUCCACGGCGACGGGGAGGUUCCGGGAGGGAAGAGUUCUUUAAUUGCCCGGGAGGGAAGGUAAAGCCUUUGUAUCAACCCUUUUUCCCGCAUCCUUCCUCCGUCCCCCAAUCCAUGGCUUAUUUGAUUUGUUAACUUUUUUUUCAGGACUUGGCUCUAGAGAAAUCGGGAAGAAAAUGUACAAGGACGCUGAAGGUCCGUCUUUAUUUGAUUUGUUUGAGCAUGCAGAUAUUGUUAUUAUGAGUUUAGUGCUAUAAUUUUGCAUGUCCAUUGUGUUUGGAAAAUUUUUGAGAGCUGCUUACUGCCUGAUAUGUCACUGCUUUACCCUGACGUAUAAUUUUUAAGAUACCUUUUUUUUUCAAAAAAACCUUGAGCUUUCUUGGAUUCCGAACAAGCUUGAAGUGAACCAUUAGACCGAGUAUAAGAUUCAAAGGACCCAAAAGUUGUAGGAUUAUAAAUACAUACAUGCACACAUAAAUAUAUUGGUCUACUUUUCUCCAGAAGGAUCGAGACCUCUAUCCUACCAAUGCAAAAUCAACGAAGACAUUUCAAAUUGAGAAUCCAUACUGUUGAUGAUCAUCUAUGUAAUAAAAAUAUUAAAAUAUCGGUGAUCUUGUAUUUUGAGACCUCGCAUUAUUUAUCAAGUGAGCUUAAAAAUUGACGGUGGUAACAAUAUUAGUUUGCUAAACUAUAUGAAAAGACGUAUAAUUUAAAAUCUACACUGUUGAUCAUGGUCUACACAUUGCAGAACACGUGUAAACCAAAAGUCGGUAGAUUUGGAUGUUUCGAAACCAUAAAUCAUGCAAAAGACCAAUAUUAAAUCGUUCGAACGAUAUAUUUUGAGCUUCUUGAUGCAUAGAAAAAUUACCUCCAAAAGUACAUGUUUUGAUUUUAUAGUAGUCUAUGUGAUAUAGAUCGUAAUCAACGAUAUGGAUCCUUCAUAUAACAUCUUCAUUUUUGAUAUUUGAUUGGUAGGAUUGAGACCUCAAUCCUUUUAAAAGGAUAAUAGGUGAACUCUCUCUAUGGAGAGAGAUGAUGGCUUUCGAGCUCCAGGGAACAAUGAGUAUAGUUAUUCCCUAUGCAUAAUGACGGAAUUUGACUUUCAAUAACUUCCACUUUUUAUUGUUUUCUUUUUUGGUCUUCUCAUGGAAAGUUUGUGUCAUUGAUGUCAUCCAAUUUCUCAUUAGAUUUUAGUUCAAAUAUCAAAAAUUACUUUUGGUCUGGGAGAAAUCUUCUCUUUCCCACAUUCCAUCUUCUCUCCUCCUCCAUUUUGUUACUUUGAUUCUCCUACCACCAGCCACAACCACAUCCCUCUUGCCAAUCCUUCCACCCAGUGGCCACUCCUCCCACCCCGUUAUUCCUGCAGCUGCAAACAACAACCUCUCAUUCUUUUUCAUUGGCUGUCAACUAUUACUCUUUGGACCCUCCUCCAUGGCCGUCCACCACAUCUCAUCAUAUGCAUAGCUUCUCUCUCCCCUGUACUAUCUGACAUUCUGCCUCCUUCUGCGAUCGCCUACAUUAUUUCCUUGUCUCUCAUCACUUUGCCUGCCGUCCUUGUCUCCAAUUUCAUUCUACUUCCACCCACCACUUUUCCUAGUUCCUCAUCCUGUCAUGUAUCACCUCUUCCCUCUUCUUCCUUGGACCACUUAUCCAUAUAAGCCACAUCAAUCUCCAAUUCAAAACUACUAAUACUUGUCGAAUUUUCUUGUUUUAUCUAUGAUGAUCAAUCCUCUGGUGAUCAACUGGUAAACAAGAUCAAGUUAUAGUCAAAGAAUUUCUCCUCUGACCUAUCUUAUGCAUCAGAGGAACCCAUGUAUCCAGUGAUUAUUUGCUCGUGAUCUAUGCCAUCCAGUUUUCCAUUUCUGCUAGUAUAGAGAAAAUGCUUAUGAUAGCUGAAAAAUGUGUUGUAUGCUAUCUAGAGCUUCAAAGGCAAUGACUGCUAUGCAAAUACAGAGUAUCCCUAGAUUUUCUCAAUUAUUUGUUCUUAUUUUUUUAUGUAAAAAUUAAAUGGUGUCUAAGAAGAGUACGUAUAUCGAUCACAUUUCCAUGGUCAUGGAAGAGCAAUGCCUAUAAAUGUUUUCUUUUUCCAGCAUCCAGAUUCUUUCUCGGAAUAAUAAUAUAAAGUAAGCUACCUUUUUCAUCAUGCAAUGAUUGUUGAUUCCAGCAUAUAGACCUUGGAAUGCAGACCUUAUGAUAUAAAUAGAACGUUGGCCUUGGUUAGAUGCUAAGAGGUCCAGCAUCAUUUUUAUUUUACAAAAUGCUCAAGAAACUAAAAGGUAUCAUCCAUACAGGCGCUCGACUGCUGUGGUGUAUUCUCAUUACUCCCUUUGCAUUGGUAUCCUGAAGUGUGGGCCAUUUAAAGAAGGGAAUUAAUACACCAGAGUGGCUUUUUCGAGUGAUUUUUCUGGGUUACGAUAGCAUCGCUCGUUAGAUUACCAUUGAUUUUUUGGACGACAAUCUUGAACACCCAACUAGUAAUAUCCUUUAGUCUGUGCUCCAAGGCAAGCAACUGAUGGUUUGGUUUGUAGUUUUAGUCUCACUUGUAUAUGGAGUGAGUUCCUUGGCCGUGUUUUGCUGCUCAAAGGCAGCUGAAGCAAGCAAGCAUCCAAGUAUUAUGCAAUUUUUGUAAUAACUUUUGGCAUUUGCUAUAAGCAAGGAGCUUGAAUUUUAGAUGUUAAAAUGCUAAGAACAUAAUAUUGCAUCCAUCUUUCUUAUGAAAACAACACAUAAAGGAUAGCAAGAAUUCUUGAUGCUUGUUCUUUAUAUAUGUAGAAGAAGAUAGCCAUGCCUGUGCUUAGAGAUUAGGUCUUUUCAUGUCAUAAGAUUUUUUAAUAUGGUUGACUCAGGAAGCCCACCUCUGCAAAAUUUUAUAUUCGGUGAAAUCCUUUUUCUGGAAAACCUUCAAGAAAUGAAUAAUCAAGUUAAACCAUGGAAGGUCACCAUACUCAUGUAGCAGAGAACAUGCUGAUUUCCAAUAUCAAUUGAUUCAGAUGGGGGGAAGGGGAAAAGAAUGGAUUAGGCCAUCCAAGAUUCCAUGAGCAGGAGAGAACCUAGACACCGAAGAAUAGGAACCACAAGAUCCAAGUAUAAUUUCUCCAAAGACCCACAGGAAAUGAAGAGUGGGCAAUGGAUGGACAUCAUACAACAUUUAUUUAUGUUACUUUUACAACUCCACAAGUAGGUUUUCAUUCAGUCAGUCAUUCAUUCAUUCACAAGAUCACUUGGAGGCAGGGUAGAUCAACAAUCCAAGUUGUGCCGUACAAUUAACCUGGAUCUCCAAGACAAGUAUGAGAGAACUAUAUGGAUCACAAUUAUUUAUACAAAAAUAAGUUUAUUGUGUUAGAUUUUUCUAUGACCGUACAGUAGCCCUACCUAUAAUGCAUUAGCACCUGGCACCAGGGUAGUUCCGGGUAUUGCUCAUCUUAGAUGAAGAGUUGAUAAGAUAAAAAAAUGGAUCACAUAUCAAGAUAUCCAAUAUCUAUAUCUACUUUUAAUUUUUUUUGAUAAAUAUGAAUACGGAUAUUGAUAUUAGUCAAAUGCUAAAAUCCAUAUUUAUGUUUAUUUUAAAUGGAUAUCAAUACAAAUUGGACACUGACAAUACCAAUACAAAUGGAUAAGUGAACUUUAUAAACCACCAAAUCUUACCAAUUGAAAGGUGAACUAACUUAAAGAUAUAUUAAUAUUGUCAUUCAUUUCUCUUUGAAGCUCAUGAGAGUUGCGACUGCAGGUAGAAUCAAAUUUUUUUAUAUGGGUCUUCCAUAUUCUUAUCCAUUUUGCUAUUUUUUUGAUAAAUAAAAUAUAAAUAUGGACAUUAUUUAAAUGCUGAAAAUCAUACCUAUAUUUGGUUUAUCUGCCUUAUGGAUCUGAGACAGCAAGAAUUUAACAUGGCUAAUAAAGGAUGUUCAAUAAGCCAGGUGUUUUUUAGUGAUUCAAGACAUGAUAUGGUAGCAACAAAAGAACAGGCUGCAGAACAGGCUGCUGAGGUAGGAAAAGGUUUUGAAAAGAAAAUUAUAAACUUCCUGCGUUCGGAUAGAAAUUGCAGCUGGCUCGUCAGGAAGGGAAACUAGUUGCAGGAAUAUUAACUCUCCGGGUAGAGAUUCGAUCAAUUUGAUUACAUGGAAAGGAACUGAGUACCAGUUAUGUAGAUGCAAACACGCAAACAUGAAGGGAUGAGAAUGUGGAAGAUUUUAUCUAAAAGAGUCAGCAAAUAAAAGAUUCUGAAACGGAUGUGGCAUGCAGCAAGCCUGUGUCGACCGUCCACAACAUUGAAAACAAUCAAUUCGCAGUUCUAUCAGUCUCUCAAUAAAUGUGGCUCGUCCUGAAGAUGGCAUGCUUUUUGGUAUGACGUCGAAGAUUUUUUUUUGGAAACAACUUGGUAGAAACAUCUCCCCGUGUUUGUCAGGAAUCUCAGAAGAAGAUAUAAACUUUGGUGAUGGAGAAUACUAAAUAAAAAAUCAGAGAAGAUUGCUACAGGAUAAUCUUGAGAUGGAACGCUUAAACAAACAAUUGGCAGCCAAAGUUUUUUUUUUUUUCUUUUUUUUGAGAAUAGAUUGGCAGCCAAAGUUAAUUCAGCCCUACCUCCAGUAUAGUUCAACCAACCUGCCGGGCCCAAGAGCAAGAAAAAAUUGACAACUUCACCACUCGCAACUUGCAAGCACCGGUAAAAUAUGCAACACAUAGGGCAUUUAUGAUUCUUUAUCUAUCACGCAGGUGGUUUCCUUGACUACCUCUGAAAUCAUUCUUCACAUGCUGCAAACCUUUACAAAAUUGCAGUGUUAAAAGGAAAGUAAACUACUCAGCAGAUGUUAUGAACCAUGAGGACGCUUCGACCUAAUCUUCCGCAGCAAUCCAAACUACAAGUUACAAAAAAGCAGCGGCAUCAUACCCUACAUUGUGUGCGCCAUGUGGCCAUACACAACGCCAAUCACAGCUACUUACCUCAUUCAUCAAGCACACAUCUCGGUGCACACUGCUACAAGAAUAAGAUGGCGCAUGCCAUAUAGGAUAUAAUUUCUCCUUAGCAAUGCAGUCUGCUGCAGUGUGACAGUUUGAAUCUAAUCAUGUCUUUGACAAAACCUCUUUAAAGAGGGGCAGUUUAUGAAAAGAUACAGGACUUAGAAACAGAACACUGAUAUGAAUAGACCCAACUGCCUCUUAACUUAAACCAGGCCUGAGCAAGACAGCAGGAUGCUGAAAAGCCUGCUUUUUCAGUGCUAAAUGAAUGAAAGAUUAAAACAAGUAUCUUAAAUUUAUCUAGCCUCUUCCACAGAAGUAGUAGUUGGGUGAUCAAUCCACUUGACCGUCACAUAUAAUUCACCUGAUUCAACAUCACGAAGCUUCAAACGGACAUCAAGCACAAUCUCACCAUUCGCGUAUGUGACAGAGGUGUCAGCCAAGAGGCAAUUGUCGCUGUUAGCUGCCACUUUCCUCAACAUGGUCUCGCCUGUAGUUAGCUGCAGCGCUCGCUUCAACUUUGAAGCUGAGGCAAGCGGCCGAAGGUCAAGAAAGGUAUGACCCAUCUUGUCAUCUGAUUUGAACCGGUCCCUAUCGAACACCUCCUGCAAAAAUUUUGAAGUUUUUUAAUUUGAGUUUGUUUCUCAAAGCACUGGCUCGAGACUAGUAAGCAAAAUAAGAUGGAGGGAACUAUGAUAUAUUUCAUAACAUGAAUUUCAGCUAUCCAUUGUUUAUAAUAUGUAAAGGGGGCAUACAUGAUCAUAUCAAAAACCUCAUGCUCCAAAGAACUUUCUUAGAUUUGGUCACAUUUCAGUAAGGCAAGGCGCAUGUUGAUGGCACCGACCAGAUCUCCAGUUCUGUCUCAGGUGUUUUUGAGAAAAAUAAACGAUAAAUCACCAUUGAGACAUACAAACAAAAAGUAACUUCAGUUGUUGCAUACAUCGAAGGUUUUGAUCAUAAUUAUCAUUGAUCCUUGGGUAUUUAAACUUAGGUAAUUAAAGUGCAGAUGGGUCUCCCUUUCUCUCUCAAAAAAGAAAAAGACAAAUCAAACAACAUUUUGUAAUAUCUUACAACAAGUUGCAUGAUAACCAUACAGAUUUGUUAGGUCUUUCCAGUGCAAAAGAGACAUACACCAGAGAGUCAAAACAUGUGCAUUCAAGGGACAACUGUUCUAUUCUUACUUGCAUAACUUUAUGUUUUUAAAAUAAUGUUAUGUUUGUCAAAGGAAAUGAAGGAGGCAUAUAAUACUCGAAUUUGGUACCCUGAGAUCCUUGAACCCAGUUGACGCAUGAUAGUCAGCAAAAUAAUUACUUCUCUUAACAAAGACAGCAACAGACUAGUUGUCAUCUAUUGAAUCUUCUUCAAUAUACAGUGAUACAUUAACAAUCUUACAAAACACUGCCUUCUGCAUAUUAAAUUAUUGUUCAAAGUAUUUAUUUCUCAUCAACACAAGUUCAGAUAUAGGUCACUAUCCACUUCCAUAAACUACAAGAUAAGAGUCUGUCUACAUAAACUAGCAUGGCAAUAGUCAUUGAAACAGUCAAACUUCUAGAAUAUUAAUUAUCAUAUAAAGUACAACUUAUCAUCCACUGAAAAACUCUUUGAGUGGCCGCCAAAAGAUUGUUGAAUAAAGAACAUACCAGUUUUAAGACACCAAGAGGUUCUUUCGUGGAGAAUGUUAGCUCUUCAUUCCAAACAGGAUUUAAGCAACUGUUGAUGACCUUUGUCUUUGCAGUCUGUGAAUAAAAGGAAAGAGUAAGCAUAGAAAGAGAACAGAAUAAACUCCUCGGCAUAGUUUUCCCAAACAAAGCACUAGGUCAAAAUAAGAGGGCCUUCCAAGUUCCAACAUCAAAUUGGGUAUCCAGUCCAUCAACACAGGUGUCAGAGUAAGCUGGCAGCAGCGCAGUCAAAGUCAAACUGCAGCAGGGAUAUGAAUUCUGACAUGAUUACAUCAACAAUAAAAGAAGACCAUACUGAGUUCAUCUAACUAAGCCCUGUAUUGAGUUCAAGUUAGACGGCAGGGUUCAGCAUAAUUCCAAAAGGAAAAUGCUUUGCAGUGCCCGUUAAGUGCACAUAAAAAGCUCAUCCAGCCUACUACCACUGGCUUGGCAACUCAAUAACUAAUAACCACCUCCCUGUAUAUCGCACUGAAUCUUAAAGUAAUCCGACCCAUCGGUGCAAGAUGGCAGGAGGAACUUCUCCUGUGCACAUAACUAGUGCCACAUAUAAUCACCCAUUCCAAAGGCAUCAUUGUGGAUGCUACCUCGACUGGUGAUGACAGGCAGCCGCCAGUGUAAAACAGAAAUGGACAUGCAAGACUUACAAAAGCAUGCAAAACAGUGCUUCUACAAAGGUGCUGCACCCUAUUCUGAGUCAUAAAAAAGCUUGGGCAUUUUCAUCAUCAUCAUCAUCACCAAACCUCUUUUCCCAUUGAGCACAAACUCUAUUGAAGGAUCAAGCAGAGUUUGAAUACCACCUACGAACCCAUUGACCUUUUAAGAAUUGGUGCAGAAACUCUAGCCAAGGCAACUUAGACACGAGGGCAUGCCAUGAAACCUAGAAGGCCAGUUGGCAGGUUGGCAGGAUAUACCUUCCUAGUUUCGAAUAGCUCAUGCAUCCAGCAAGCUAAUGCAAGUUAUAAAUUGCGCACUUUUAUAACCAAGAAACAUCUUUCUUAUAACUCUACAACUUAACAUAGAGAUGCACGAUUGAAAAUAACCAAGAAGAAGCCUUGCUCACUUUAAUUCAUUUCAUUGAGGAAAGCUCAUCCUUAACAAAUAAAUGAAAAUGAAGAGAACCAGGACAAGCAUUCUAACACAAUAAUACUUGGCGACAAUUAGCUCAAAACAUUAGAAGCUGCUUCAGAUUAUCUUCAUUUGCCUGAGAUGGCUGUUUUCAUGAUCCAUUCAAUCCCCCUGAGGUUCUUCAUACAUUCCUAGCAAGAUUUACCGUUGACUCAACAACAUCAAUAAAGACUUAUCAUUGACUCAACAACAGCCGCAUGAUGGCUGAUGGGAGUUCAAGUUGCCCAACGAUCGUAUGGAGGCCUAACAAUGUUUUGGACAUAACAGGGUGGCAAUGCUUCGCCGUUUAACCUGUUUAAUUCGUUUCAACCGAUUGUAGAUCGGCACUAGAUUAUCUAUUUAAUAAAAUGACCAUAUUUUAAUCUAAAAUUUUGACACGUUUAAUAAACAGAUCUAAUUCAGAUUAAAAAAAUUUUUUUUUUUGUCUAUCCUGUAUCCGACCCGACCCUUGUCUUGUCCAAGCUGACCCUUAUUUUGUCCAACCCGCCAGAUUGGUAAUAACAUAUCCAAUUGGUUGGUAAAUCCUGAAAAACAAAAAACAAAAAAAGAAAAAAAAAAGAUUGCAUUUCACCAAAUGCGGCUGCAAAUAACUCACCUGAUUUCCUACUCUGACCACAACGUAGGGAUCGCUGCUGGUAAAAUCGCGAAUAGCCAGCUUCCUCCCUUGCACGAUGGUCACCUUUAGAAGUCCAGCAUUCUCCUCCAUGUUCCCUCUCCUACCAAAUGGUUCAACCCUAAAGAUCCCGCCUACUGCCGGGGACCAAGAUUGUUAAAAAUCACCGGAAACAAAUACUUUCCUAACCGAACUACCACUUAGUGCCUGAAUCACACUACCAGCUCUUUCUAUUGAGAAAUUUUGAACAAGAAUCAUCAAAUCCACCUCAAGCUUUAUAAUUUAGAAAAAAAAUGUUUUUUGUUCUACGUAAAAGAUCUGCCCAAAAAAAAACAUUUUUUUUCUUCUUAACAAACACCACCAGGGAUUUCUUAAAAAACAAAAAAGAUUCUUCUUUUCCAAAGUAUUUUUCAAUAGCAAAGUCUAAGUAAUAGAGUAAAAACCCUAGAUUCAGAUAUCAUAGGAGAAUCAAAUUAAUCCAGAAAGUUAAGAAAUUAAACAGAAAAAGCACAGAUACCUCCAUCAAAAUGCCUAAUUUUGGAGACAGGAGACUUAAGCUUUAUCUCACAACAUACGGAUUUUCAAAGAAAAAAAAUGAAAUAGAAAAUCUGUUCAUCUACAAGAAGAAGAGAAACAUGUAAGGAAGCUGAAAACCACCAUAGAAAAAAUCACUUGCCGGCGGUGGACUUCAUACAGAAAAGGAAAAGAUAAGAAAGCGGAAAACCACCUCGGAGAACCACUUGAUGGAGAAGCCUUUUGUGGGAAGUGGAUCUCGGGCAGCUCCGCGGCUUUAAUCGCCAAAUAAGGCGCCGAGGGGAGGUUAUAAAGAAGGAACCGGAAGUAGGGGCUUCAACGCGGGCGAGCAGCGGGGACCGGCGAUUGCCGGUGAUCUAGCGACGCGAGUGCCAUCUGGAGCCUUUCUAAUUCCCAUUCUUCCCCACCGCGUUCGUUCGGAAGCGAGCAUACACCCGCGUGUGCGGCCGCCCGCAUAAAAUUUUGCCAUGCUCGGCCGGUGCCAUAGGAGUCACGUCAUCCUCGUGAAAGGAAACAGACGUGACGUGAGAUAGUGUCCCCUUUUUUGACUUUUUCUUAGGAAUAUUUAUUUAUUUAUUUAUAAGCUAUUAUAUCAUUGACAGAAUCAAUCUCAGCUUUUAAUAUAAUAUUCGAUUAUACUUUAUCACCUUUUACCACUGCAAAAAUACGACCGAGAUUCAACUCCAUUGAAGUAAAAGUGGGCUUAAAAAAUAAAAUGAUGACAUAAGCAUUAUGGUGUAGGUGUUAAACUUACACAAGAAAAAUAGAAUGAUAAAAUUGAUUCAUUUCUUUAAUCUAAAGCACACAAACAUUACUGGAUUAUGUAGGUGCGUUGAACUUCAUGGAGAGUGAACUUUAUGAUGUUUUACCCCUAAUGGUCAAGUGGGAGAUCUUGGAUAUAAUGGCCUUGAUGCAUACAAUAUCAAGUAAAUCUCGACGCCGCCUGGGUUUUCUAUUAACUUGUCAUCCAUGAUAAGAAGCCUUCCAUAUAGGUCAUGUAGUUACUUAUAGCAGUUUCUGAUAUUAUAAUUUAUAUGGAGUGCUAAUUAAAAUUGCUCACCAAGUAUUGUAAUUUGAAUGUGAUUGAUGGCUCCAAUUUCUAAAUUGAAGCGAAGCACCCUUUCUGACAGCUACGUCUAUGUUUAACAGUAAUGCUCAAGCAUACAUCAUUCUCCGUAAUCUAAAAUUGCCUGCUAAGUCUGCAUGAAGUCAAUCAGAAUCAGGGAUCAUUUUCUUGUCGAAUGUUUGAGGUAGCGGCCAUAAUCUGUAAAAUGUUGAUAGCAAAAUCCUUACUGAAAAUCAUCACUAGUUUGUCUUGUCAUCAUUUUAAAGAGUCAUAUAAGCGACAGAAGUACUGGUGCGAACAUACAAAAAUGUUGUUAUCAAUGAUGUUAGUUUCAGUAUGAUACCUAGCCUUCAAUAAGGCAACAUAUGACUCCUUCGUUCGACAACUUUUGAAAUAAAAAUAAUAAUUAUAAUCCAUUAUGAAAAAAAUGGACACGGUAUAUAUAUAUAGUUCAAGGAGUGUACAAUUUUCAGUAGCCUCGUUCUAGGAAAAGAAUGUACUAUCCUUAAAACUAUAUGGUGAUACAUGUUGAUAAAAUCCUUAGGGACAGCACAAAUAUAUUAUUUAAGACACACUGUUCCAAUAUUAAUAGCUUAAAGUAACUUCAUUUAGAUGGAAACACUUGAAUUUCCCUUGCAGCUAGAGCAAAGACUCAUCAUUCUUGGAAACAUACCGGUACUAGAUAGGGAAAGUGUCCAUCUCUGCACUUCAAUGCAAUUUACUAAAGUCUUUGAUUUUCAAGAGCUCUUUCUCACCAUUUACGAAAUCCUAAAAGUCAUCCAUAAUAGUCAGAGGUAAAAAUAAAUUGGUUAGAUGUUACCAUAUGGUGAACUGUUUAUGAUGCUUUUUUUCUUUUCUUUUCUUUUGUUUUUUUUUUUUUGCUAAGGCUGAUGGAUCAUACCUGACGAAUAACUCCCCAUUUUCAGCCCACAGAGUACUACCAGAGUAACUGGCAUUUAUGUUGCCUUUAAGAAAAGAAUUUUUUUUUAAAAAAAAAAACAGCUCUUACAAGAGCAGCAUAGAAGAAAAAAGUAUUGAAUUGAUAUAAGAAUAGCAGGCAAUGCAGCCUUAAGAAUCAAAAGCAGUUGCUGCGAUAGUUCAGGAGAACGUGCACAAAUAAAUACGAUCAAAUUAAGAUGACAACGGGCAUCUUAUCAGAUUAGAUGAUCAGAUGUUUUUUAUUAUCAUCAUCAUUGUUAUUGCCGUUUGUUUGGUAAACGAUGACUGUGUUUCUCUUAGAAAAUUUUGUGCACGAAAGUAUAAAAAUCUCGUAGACAGUGCAAUAUACUCUGCAAAGGAUCUCAUAGAUGGUUACUAAUAAGGUAAUUUCAUUCUAAUUACAAUUAGUUUUUCUAGUUAAACUUUUUGUAAUUAGCUAAAUAAGAUAUGCUAAAGAAUAUUACAGUAAAAUCCUACAGUAGGAUCAUCGUGUAACAUCGUUCUAUUCCUAUAUAAACUUUUAAGUAGAAGGGCAGGCAAGGUGCUCCUAGCUCUUCUAUGCUUCAAAAGCUCUGACAACCUGUUUUAAGUAUCGCAUGGAAGGGCGAACUGUAUGACCUGUUUGUAAGCGUCACAUAGAAGGGCGGACCAUAUGAUGAACAUAUCGCAAUCUUCCAUUGCAUGGGGAAUAGGAUGUAUUUGAAGCCCAACUUCAUGAGCGAAAUGAAGCAGAUUGCAUUAAUAUACAACAAUCAUCUCAAAUUUCUUCUUGACCUGGAAGCAUGGGUGAAUUCUUCCCCAUCUACAUCACUUGCCCACAAGCCUGCAAUAGAUGAUUAAGUGCUUCUAAAUUCAUAUGCAAGAUAUGGGACAGGAUUGUGAUGAAGUUUUAACUUGGAAGAACGGAAUCUAAACAAAAAAAAAUACCACACCCGAAUGAUCAUCAAAUCAUCUUCUCAAAUUUGUCGAGCUUUUUCACUCUUUGCAUGGAUCUGAUCACUAAUGUUAAGAAAAUACCUGCAUGUUUGCAAUGGAGUGGGAAUUAAAUUUAACCAACCUAGAACCUUGGCUUUUCAAACCAAAAUGAACAGAAGAAAAUCAUCUUGAGUGAUUGUAUUUGAAUAUUUUGUCAACUUUGAGCAAGAUAUAAAGAAUUUAUUCCUUAGUAAGUCUGUUAACCCAAUAUACGAAUGUCUAGGCUAUGAUGCAUCAAAGAAGGCUAGAAGGCAAGGGUACAAAAUGGAGGAGAAGGGUUUACAUGCACAGAAGGGUUUGGAUCGCCAUAUAUGGUGACCACAACCCCAGGAUAUAUGAUGGAUUGAGAAGUGCUCCUAUAAUUCAGCAUGAAAUAGGAGGGACUUAGUAUCAAAGGAGCACCAGCCUUAUCGGACGUCCAUCCCAGGGUUGCACUGGUCAUAGAAGUUGGAAAGUCAAACUAAAGUGAGCACAGGGUUGGGUUGGGAAAGCAAGGCCUGGAGUGAGGUAGGUUUAGGGAAGAGGGAGAUCGAGAUUGGUGAAGAGUGAUUUGGAGCAGGUGGCAGAGUAUUUUUUUUUUUUUUUUUGUUGGGUUGGGGGGUGGACAUAGGAUCACAGGAGAUGGGGGCAAAAGGGGGUUUAACCAAUUUGCAUACCUCUAAUGAUGUAAUUGUGUGCACGAUGGAUGCAAUAACAUGCAUGCUGUAUGUGAAAGCUUCGCGAUGUAAGCUCAUUAAUUAUAAUACAUAGAAUACAAGCAUAAAUAAGGAAAGAUCUGUAAUUGUUCACAAAAUUUAAGUGUUAUUUUCAAGAACAACUGGUUGGGAAGAAAAUAGGAGGAUUUGGUUUAGCGCAUACACAAAGAAUGGUUGAUUUGUGCAAGCAAACACUAGUUGGGAACAACGAUGCAGGCGGUAGUGGAGAUACAAGGGCUUAGAGUAAAAGGAUGAGGACAGGGUGGGAUGACAAGCUUGGCCUGGAGUGCAGAAGGUGGAGGGUGGGAGGGAGAUUGAGAAUACAGAGUAGUGAGGUGAAGUGCGGGGGAGAAGUGGGAGUAGGAUCACAUAAGAAGAUGGCAUGUAGGGUCAGUGUAUGUCUUUAUGCAUAUUUUUGCAUAAUGGUUUAUGUAUUUAUUUAUGCAGCCAUGCAUGAUGAACAUAUACAUGUUGUGUGCAUCUGUAAGACUUAAAUCUGAUCUAAGCUCAUUAAACAACAAGAAUCCAGCCAGUGUAAAAUAUGCAUAAAUAGGACCUAGAUAACCUAUAAUACAUGCACCAUUGGCAUGAACACAAGAAGAGCUGCAUGUUUGUGUUUAAGUCUGUGUCAAGAUUUUCCAAGAACAAGACAAGUGAGCCACUUACCAGCACCAAUGAAAGAUACAUUCGCAAUAGGUUGGUUUCCUUGGCUAAUUAACGUCAGCCCAACAUUCAACAAGGUUCCACUAGUAGCAGUAUACAUGGUAGCCAUCUGCAGGAUUGAGGCUUUCCUUGCAGCUCUCUCUGACUGGAGAAAUCAGUAUAUAUAUAUGAUCAUUAUAUCACUAAUAACGCAUCAUAUAAAUAGGGAAAAGCAAAAAUAGCAAACAGAAAGCCAUUUAUGAAAAGAUCAGAUAGAGAACUUUGAUCAAGAACAUAAGACCUACAAUUGACAAAGUUAAUUUUAGUUGCUGAUAAAGAUUUGAAGGGCUUGUUUACUAAAAAAGAGUACAGAAAGAAAAAGACAGUCCAACCUUCUACUAUUGUAUCAGUUAGAUUCAAGAAUUUUGUACCCAAAAAAUGAUCAUACCAAUAAUUUUUACAAUAAUACUCAAAAUAGGACAUGCUUGCUGCCAUUCAAAUUUUUUCUAUGACACACUGAGGCUCCAUUUGGCAAAAUUUUUGGUGGGCUAGAAAGCACUUUCUGGCCCUCCAAAAGCAUUUUUGGAUGGUAUAAUAGUGUUUGGUAAAAAAUUGGAAAGUUGUUUUAGCUUUGUCAGAAAAUGUCUAUUUGGGAAAGCUCUAUUUUGAAGCUUCUCCCCAAAAGUGUUUUCUGGCCAACGUCGGAAAGUUGUUUUCGUUAUAAUAAAAUUUUUCUGAUAAUCAAAAUGUCCACCGACAAAUCUCAUGAUUGCAUCUUAUAUUAUAUCAUAUCAUAUCAUAAUAUAAUAUUAUACUAUAAAUAUAAUAUAAUGUAAUGUAAUAAUAAAUUAUAAAUUAUUAUGUUGUAUUAUAUUUUAUUAUUACAUCAUUAUAGUAAUACAUAAUUAUAAUAUAAUAUAUUAUUAUAUUAUAUUAUAAGCAUAAUAUAACAUAUUAUUACAAUCAUUAUAUUAUAUUAUAUAAUAAUAAUAGUUAUAUUAUGAUAAUAUAAUAUAUUAUUAUAAUAAUAUUAUAAUAUACUAUUAAUAAUAUAACAUUAUUAUAAUAUAAUCAUACAAUAGAAUAUAAUAUUAUAAUAUAAACAUAUAAUAUAAUAUUAUUAUAUUACAGUAAUGCAAUCUAAUAUAAUUAUAUUUAGUAAUAAUAUAAUAUUAUUACACUAUAAUAUAAUAUAAUCUAUUAUAUUAUAAUCUAUUAUUAGAUUGAUUCUAAUCUGUUAUAUUAUAUUGUUAUAUUAUAUUACAAUAUUAUUUAUAUAAUAUUAUAUUAUAUAUUAAGUCAUAACUAUAAUUAUAUUGUAUUAUAUUAUAUUGUGGUAAUAUUGUGCUAUUAAUAAUAUAUUAUUAUAUCAUAUCGUAUCAUAUUCUAUUAUAUUGUUAUGCUAUAGUAUUCAAUAUUAUAUUAUACUAUAUUAUAAUAAUAUUAUACAAAAUAAUAAUAUUUUAAUAUGUAAUAUUAUAUUGUAUUAUACUCCAAUAUGCAAAUAAUGCAAUACUAUGCAAUAUUCUUUAUUGUCAUUUUAUCAUACCAAAAGUAUUUUCUUAUUUUGGUUACCAAACGUAUGUUAAAGCUUUACAAUACUUUAGAAAUGUAGUUAUCAAACCACAAAUAGCUUUUUAUAAAACCUCUACUUCCAAAAGCUCUAUUUUUCGAAAGCUUUACUUUUAAACGCUCUAAAAGCUCUACUACCAGCAGCAAUCCCAUACAAAGCCUAAGGCUCCAAUUGGUAAAGCUUUUGGAGAGCCAGAAAACACUUUCUGGCCCUUCAAAAGUACUUUUGAAUAGUAUAGAGGUCUUUGGUAAAAAAUCAAAAAGCUGCUUUGGGUUCGCUAGAAAGCUAAAAAGGUCUACUUGGGAGAAGAUCUAAAAUGGAGCUUCUCCCAAAAGUGCCUUCUGACAUAUGUUGGAAAGCUAUCUUGGCUACACUAAAAUUUUUAUCAUGACCAAAAUGCCCACAAACAAAUACCAUAAAAAUAUUAUCCUAUGUAAUAAUAUAUUAAUAUGUAAUAGUAAUAACUAUAAUAUUCUAUAUUAGAAUAUUGUAUUAUAAUUAUUAACUCACAUUAGCUAUGUUAUAUCAUUAUAUUAUAUUAUAUCAUAUUAUUAUACUCUAAUCAUACUAUAUAAUAUUAUUACACUAUUAUAUUACAUUAUAUUGUUAUAAUAAUAUAAUAACACAUUACUUAUUAUAUUAUAUUAUGUCAUAUCUUAUUAUAUUACAUUAUAUCAUAAUAAUAUUAUAUUAUAUUAUAUUGCAUCAUAUUGCAUGCUAAUGUUUUAUCAUAUUAUAUUAUACUAUAAUAAUAUUAUACUAUAUAAUAAUAAGUAAUAUUGCACUGUAUUAUGCUCUACUAUAUAAUACUAUGCAAUGUUCUUUAUUGUCAUCUUAUCGUACUAAAAGUCUUCCCUAGUAUGAUUACCAAACACAUAUUAAAGUUUCAAAGUACUUAAGAAAUGUAAUUACCAAAUAGCAAACAGCUUUUUAUGGAAGCUCUACUUCUUAAAGCUCUAUUUCCAAAAGCUCUAAUACCAACAGCAAUCCCCAACAAGGCCUAGACCCUCAACUUUUGUAGAGGAUUUAGCUUAUAUAACAUCCAAAUACAAGAAUUUAAAAAAUGGCAUUAAAUUGAGCUCAAUUACACUCUCUUUUUAAAGCAUAAGGUCUAUCAUGUAUUACUAUCAAAUAAGCAAAAGUUAAAACAGUUAUUCAAAUAUAUUAUGACAAAUGCUCCAUGGAGUUUGGAGAAUAGCUUCUAUAAUCAGUUCCCUUUCAUUUAAACGCAAUUAUGUAGCAUAAUAGAAUUCAAUAUGUAAUACCUAUUUGUUUAAUAGAAAAAAUUUCAAAUUUUAUUGAAAAUGAAUAUUCUCUGUUGAUACCUCAAGUACUCUGACACGGAGUUUUAAAUCCCCUGACUCAAGUUGUUUAACAAACUUUUCUAUUCGUUGGAUUCUGUACGGCAUUGAGAUAGUGUAAUUUCUAGCCUGCAAUAAAUAAGAUGCAUCCUCGUCAUAUCAGAAAUAAAAGGGAGACCAAUGGAUCAUCUUUUCAUUCAAAACAUUUGGUAGCAAAGAAUAGAGACCAAACAUAAAAUGAUAAUGUCUUGCAAAAAUACAACAUAGAUGAGAAGCUAAAGGUAGUAAGAUCUAGUAUAAGAACAUAAAGGAAUAUUGAGAACAAAAAAAAUUUCCAUAAAGUAUGUUAAUGAAAAAAACAGAAAUAGAAAGUAUAUCUUAGAUCUUGGGAAUUAUAAUUGCUUUCAAAUAACAAAAAUUAUGAAGCAUGUACCUCUCUUGAUGAACAAGAUAUAACUUAAUAAUACAAUGACAAAAGGGCAAUACUAAGGAAAAGGGGGAAAAAGAUUAAUUUGUACAACAAAACCAGGUUGAAUUUUAGAAACUGCAAAAGACAUACAUUAGGAGACAGCUUUUAAAACUUUCGCCAAUUUGCAGCGGUUUUAGAUGAUCGGACUACUAAAUUCCUAGAUGCACCUUUGAUGUAAUUCUAUGUGGAUGUCAAGUUGUUCGCCAUAAGAUUGGAGCACAAUAAAUGAUAACAUGAAUUAUAGAAAAGUUACUAGAAACAUCUAAAUAUGAGUUGAACAAAAAUAAACUAUAUAGAAUGACAACGCAGCAAUGAUAUAUAAAACUGAGCCUAUAGUUAGUUUAUAACUAUCGACAAGUGCCUAAUUUCAGUUACUACGUUAUAUACACAAAAGAAAAAAAACUAAAAAUAGUACUAUUAGAAAUAAGCAAGGUCUGCCAGACCAAUACCAGGGCUCGCACCAGCCGGUGACCAGUUCGAUACAGUACCAGAACAUACUAUACCGAGCCGGGGUGUAGUGAACAUUGGGGAGGGAGAGGGAGAGGGAGAAAGAGAGAGAGGAGAGAGGGAGGAGAGUGAGGGGGGAGUGGGGCUCACAGAAAGGGGGGAGGAGGAUAGGGAGGAAGAGAGAGGGAGGGAGAGGAAGGGGGAGAGAGGGGGCUUAUGAAGAGGGAGGAAGAGAGAAGGAGAGGAAGAGAGAGAGAGAGAGAGAGAGGAAGGGGGNNNNNNNNNNNNNNNNNNNNGUACGUAGAGAGGAGGAAGAGAGAGAGAGAGAGAGAGAGAGAGAGAGAGAGAGAAGGGGAGGGGGAGGCUUACCUCGGGGCAAUAGUUGGUCAGUGCCACAAUCUCGAAGAGGGGGGAGAUGGAAAGUGAGCGAGCAUUUAGGCGAGGGGAGAGCGAGGCUGCGAGCAUUUAGGCGAGGGGAGAGCGAGGCUGCGAGCAUUUAGGCGAAGGGAGAGCGAGGCUGCGAGACUAUGAGAGCCCCUUGAAGGCUCCCGAACUAAACCAAACUGGCCGAACCAUCCCAACUUGGUUUCAAUUCGGUUCGGUACAGGUCGAACUACCUAAUUCAGGUAGGUUCGAUGAACAAUGGAAAUAAGCUUUUAGGAUUAAGUGAAUAUUUGAUCUUAGAGUACUAUAAUGAUAGCAUGCCUUAGGAUGUUGCACAAUAAAGAUAAAAUUCUCGAGAUAUGCGAUUGCCCCAUACGUUGGUGAUGAAAAAAAAAUAUUACAAAGUAAAAAUUAGGCCUACAAUGCUAUGUGGCUCAGAAAUAAACAAAAAAUGUUGAGACCAAGGUCUAACGAACCGAACUGUACCGGCCGGUUCGGGCCGUAUCGGACCGGUCCAACCCGUAACUGGCACGCCGAAGCCGUAAAAACCGGUGC
This 65653-nucleotide long non-coding RNA is filed under the name Phoenix dactylifera (date palm). Its description in RNAcentral is "long non-coding RNA (PDAC_LNC000807)". The record is from RNAcentral. Lineage: Eukaryota; Viridiplantae; Streptophyta; Magnoliopsida; Arecales; Arecaceae.